RNAcentral lists this long non-coding RNA (86379 nucleotides) under Vitis vinifera (wine grape). Its description in RNAcentral is "long non-coding RNA (VVIN_LNC001392)". Lineage: Eukaryota; Viridiplantae; Streptophyta; Magnoliopsida; Vitales; Vitaceae. The record is from RNAcentral.
CUCUAGGAGGUAGCACCCCUCUAAGCCUUAUGAAGGUCUCUACUAACUAAAUUAAGGGAAGUGUGGCAAUAAAUCGAUUGAUCAUAGAUACCUAAGUAGACUAGGUGAUUUUAAAGUGUGGCAUGUCAAACACAAUCAAAUUGCAAUAAAGGAGAGUUAGGGCGCGUACCUGAACCGCUUCUCAAGCGCUAUCAUAAAACAUCAAUGGUUAAUUUAAAUAAUAUAUCAUCCAGCAUGUAUUUUAUUAGAAAUAAUCAAACAAUGAAACAUGUAUAUCAGAACACUCAAGCAUUAUUAGACAUAAGCAUUAUUUCACUAUUCACAGAAUUCAGAAAGUAGGUGAUAGAGGACAUACCUGGAUAGCAUAGAUAAUUUGUAAUGUGCUUCCUCAAGUUGUAAGGGGUUAGAUAACAAAUAAUAAAAUAUAGAAAUCCUAGCAUGCUCGUUAUCUAAUUAGCAUAGCAAAAGUGAUCACAGUAUACAGAAUCAUCAAUUAUCACAUACAUCUUGUAUAUAAUUCCUAAAAAAAAUAGAUAGACAUGAUUUCAACAAGUGUCAAAUGUGGCAACAAAAAUAAAUUUUGAAAAGAUUUUCUUAUGUAGGGGUUUCACCAAUUCCCCAAAUUAAUAUACACGAAUUUAGCUUAGAAUUAUCCCAUUUAUUUGGGACUACAAGCUUUGAUUCGUGUUUUUGUUCAAAACCAAAAAUUUUUGUUGAAAAUCAAGAAGGAUGCGAACCGAACAAGAUAUGGUUGCAUAUUAUUUUUAAAUAAAUAAAUAAAUAAAUAAAGGAGAUUUUGAUCCUGAGGACUUUAAUGAGUUUUUUUUUUUAAAAUAGAUUUUUAAAAUGAUUUUUUUGAGAAAAGUAUUUUAUUUUAAAAUAAAAGGGAUUAAUUUGGGAAAAAAAUAAAAUAUAAGAAAUAAAAUACCAAACAAAACAAAAAUGAAACCUCAAAGUAAAAUUUUUUUAGUAAUUAACAAAAAUGAUAAUGGUGAUGGUAGAGGGCAAUCUUCAUGAUUUUCCAAUGGCCUCAGAAAGAAAAUCAAAUUAAAUGAAGGAUCACUAACAGGCAAGACAUUCUAAAUUAGACAAACUAACAAAGUAUCAAUUCAUGAACUAACCGCUAGGAUUUUGAAAGCAUAUAAGCUAAGAUAAGGGUGAUCAGGAACUAAUAUUAAUGAUUUUGAAAUAAAAACUAAAAAAAAGGAUCAAUUCGGGUAAGGAACUAAAAUUAUAAAAGUACCUAAACUAAUUAUGACGAGUUUGACUAAAUUAAACUAAAAACAUGAACUUUCAAACAUAGAAUUAAUUUUACUAAUGAACCAAAGCAAACUAAAAAUAUGUACUUUCAAGCAUAGAAUUAAUUUUAUUGAUGAACUAAACUAUAACAAAUAUCUAAACUAAAUAUAAUGAAUCAAAUUAAAUUAAAGCAACUUAAAAACGCAAACUUUCAAACAUAGAAUCAAUUUUAUCAAUGAAUUAAAACUAUAAAUGUAUUUGAACUAAAUAGAUGAAUCAAACUAAAUCAGAGCAAAAUUAAAAAAAAAAAAGAACUUUCUAACAUGAAAUCAAUUUUAUCAACAAAUAAAUGAAUGAAUAACAAGUAAUUAAAAGAAUAGCUACUACAUGAAUAACUGAAUGAAUAAAAUUCAAAUGUUUUCAAUCUGAAGCAAUCAAUCAAAAUUAAAUAGGGAUCAAAUCAAAAUAAUCGAAAUCGGAAAAACAAUAUGCAAUCUUUCUAAAGGUUUAACCAGACAAUUGAAUUAAAAUUAUGAAUAGAAUAAAUUAAUAAACCAAAUCGAAACCUAAAUUGUACCUAAAAAGAUUAAUUAAUUAAACUAAGAAAUCAAAAUCAAUAACAAAACUAAACUAAGGAGUAAAUUAAGACAAGACUAAUUAAAUUAAACUCACAAACACGUUUUAACUAUCAUAUGGAUUAAAACAAAAUUAGCAUGGACUUAUGAAUUACGAACAAAAAUAAUCAAAACUAUUUUAAAAAACUCACCUCUAUUAUAAGAAAAAAUCUGCCUUUGAUGCGUUGAGGUGGCUCCCCUCUCUGUGUGGAUCUCUCUGCUCCCCAGAAAAAAAAUGUCUCUUCCUCCGUUCUCUUUUGUUUCAGCAAAAUAAUAUAUCCCCUGCUGUGGAUCUCUCUACUCCCAGAAAAUAAUAUAUUCUCUCCGUGUCCUAAAGUGGACCUAGGGUGCCUAAGUGGACCUAGGGUGCCUAAAUGGGCCUAGGGUGCCUAAAUGGGCCAAGUGUAUCUAAAUAGGCUUAGGGUGCCUAAGUGGGCCUAAGUCUAAGUGAGCCUAAGUCUAAAUCAAGACUACCAAGGAUCAUAAUAAGGGGUUAGGCAAUCCCUUAACCAAAGUCUCCAAGGUGGCUAAAAAAAAGUAAGUAGUAUGAGUAGCUAUGGGUCACCAAGGAACUACUGUGGAGCAUUGAAAACGAAUUUAAAGACAUGUGCCAAAGGGACAAAAUUGAGGGUCUACAGAUGGUUAGACACAUAGUUGCUCAUGGGAUAUUUGACUUUGGUAAACAAUUCAGAUUCAUAUGUGGGUUUAGGAAUACCUUUAUUAUGACGGUGUGGUAAUCGUUUCAUGAAUGGAUCAGGUUGCAAAUUAAGAACACCCUCAGCAAACAACGAUUGGUUUGGUAUUUCAGUGAAGACAUCUUCGAACCCAAAUUGUUGACCACUCAUAUCCAACUCACCCGCUUCCUGGUUCACUAGUUCAGAUUGUCCAAAUUCAUCAUUCUCAUAGAUAUGAUAAUCAUAAUCGAGAGUCUGAAUUUCCUUAUGGUACUCCCCCUGAAGUUCAGACUUAGAUGAAAAAUACAUCGAAUAUUCAUGAAACAGCNNNNNNNNNNNNNNNNNNNNNNNNNNNNNNNNNNNNNNNNNNNNNNNNNNNNNNNNNNNNNNNNNNNNNNNNNNNNNNNNNNNNNNNNNNNNNNNNNNNNNNNNNNNNNNNNNNNNNNNNNNNNNNNNNNNNNNNNNNNNNNNNNNNNNNNNNNNNNNNNNNNNNNNNNNNNNNNNNNNNNNNNNNNNNNNNNNNNNNNNNNNNNNNNNNNNNNNNNNNNNNNNNNNNNNNNNNNNNNNNNNNNNNNNNNNNNNNNNNNNNNNNNNNNNNNNNNNNNNNNNNNNNNNNNNNNNNNNNNNNNNNNNNNNNNNNNNNNNNNNNNNNNNNNNNNNNNNNNNNNNNNNNNNNNNNNNNNNNNNNNNNNNNNNNNNNNNNNNNNNNNNNNNNNNNNNNNNNNNNNNNNNNNNNNNNNNNNNNNNNNNNNNNNNNNNNNNNNNNNNNNNNNNNNNNNNNNNNNNNNNNNNNNNNNNNNNNNNNNNNNNNNNNNNNNNNNNNNNNNNNNNNNNNNNNNNNNNNNNNNNNNNNNNNNNNNNNNNNNNNNNNNNNNNNNNNNNNNNNNNNNNNNNNNNNNNNNNNNNNNNNNNNNNNNNNNNNNNNNNNNNNNNNNNNNNNNNNNNNNNNNNNNNNNNNNNNNNNNNNNNNNNNNNNNNNNNNNNNNNNNNNNNNNNNNNNNNNNNNNNNNNNNNNNNNNNNNNNNNNNNNNNNNNNNNNNNNNNNNNNNNNNNNNNNNNNNNNNNNNNNNNNNNNNNNNNNNNNNNNNNNNNNNNNNNNNNNNNNNNNNNNNNNNNNNNNNNNNNNNNNNNNNNNNNNNNNNNNNNNNNNNNNNNNNNNNNNNNNNNNNNNNNNNNNNNNNNNNNNNNNNNNNNNNNNNNNNNNNNNNNNNNNNNNNNNNNNNNNNNNNNNNNNNNNNNNNNNNNNNNNNNNNNNNNNNNNNNNNNNNNNNNNNNNNNNNNNNNNNNNNNNNNNNNNNNNNNNNNNNNNNNNNNNNNNNNNNNNNNNNNNNNNNNNNNNNNNNNNNNNNNNNNNNNNNNNNNNNNNNNNNNNNNNNNNNNNNNNNNNNNNNNNNNNNNNNNNNNNNNNNNNNNNNNNNNNNNNNNNNNNNNNNNNNNNNNNNNNNNNNNNNNNNNNNNNNNNNNNNNNNNNNNNNNNNNNNNNNNNNNNNNNNNNNNNNNNNNNNNNNNNNNNNNNNNNNNNNNNNNNNNNNNNNNNNNNNNNNNNNNNNNNNNNNNNNNNNNNNNNNNNNNNNNNNNNNNNNNNNNNNNNNNNNNNNNNNNNNNNNNNNNNNNNNNNNNNNNNNNNNNNNNNNNNNNNNNNNNNNNNNNNNNNNNNNNNNNNNNNNNNNNNNNNNNNNNNNNNNNNNNNNNNNNNNNNNNNNNNNNNNNNNNNNNNNNNNNNNNNNNNNNNNNNNNNNNNNNNNNNNNNNNNNNNNNNNNNNNNNNNNNNNNNNNNNNNNNNNNNNNNNNNNNNNNNNNNNNNNNNNNNNNNNNNNNNNNNNNNNNNNNNNNNNNNNNNNNNNNAACCAAAGGAAGCAUGUUCCAGACGUCGAUGCCACAACCAAAUUUCAGACUUUUUCUUCUCCUCCUUAGAUCCAUCUGCCAUCAAGGCUUGUUGCAACUUAUUUGAAUCCUUUGAUUGCAAGUCCAAGUAUAGAGUUUCCCCCGCUUAAUACGACAACCAAUCGUCUGUCUUGUUUGAAUGUCCUUAAUCACACAAAAUUCAGGCCAAAAAAUGACAAUACAAGAUAAGGCUGCAGUGAUUUGAGAAACUAACAAAAGAUUGUAAUCUAAAGAUGGAACAACUAAAACAGAAUCCAAAUUCAAAGUAUCAGUAAGAGUUAAGGAUCCUUCCCCAAUGACUGGGGUUGUGUUACCAUUGGCUGUGGAAACAAUUUUUUGUGAGGAAGGUCUAAGGGGUGAAACCUGUCUAGAAUCAAAAGUCAUAUGAUCUGUAGCACCAGAAUCAAUUAUCCAUGCACUAUUAAUAACAGGUGUAAAAGUAUUUAAAAACUUACCACAAUGAUCUGUAGCGGCUACUAAUGCAGAGACUUUCUCAACAACAUUAGUCUUUGUUUUUAUUUCGGUAACAGUUGCAAUCAAGGUUUUCUUGGAAUUCUUCUUCCGUUGAUCACGAUUAUUAUCAUUAAUAACAAAGUGUUGAUAGCCUAAACAUGAUCUAAAGGUCCAUGGUGCAAACCCUCGGUUCCUCAUUGUUUUCCUGGUCAUACCAAGAGUUGUUGCUUUGAAAUUGUGGGAUAUCCAGACUGGUGGGAUCAGUUUUAUUGCAGUGAGUGCAUUUGAAUGUUGACUUAUCAAUAUUAGGGCUUGUCUUCGGAUGGUUGAUUGCUGUUGGACUACCAUAGCGACAAAAUAUCCAGGAUUUCAAUUCCAGGGCUCUGAUACCAUCUUCAAAUUGAUGAAUGAUAGUUUUUCAUUCAUUCUUUCAUGUACAGAGUAUAUAUAGAGGGUAAUCACCAUUCUAAGAAUGGGAAAGAAUGAUACGAGGAAAUAAUGAUAUAAGGAAAUAAUAACUAAUAUCCUAAUAUCUCAACUUUCCUAAUAUCUCAAUAUUCCUAAUAUCUCAACUUUCCUAAUAUCUAAACAUUCAUAAUAUCUCAACACUAAAUGAUACAAGGAAAGAAUGAUAUAAGGAAAACAUUCCUAAUAUCUCAACACCACUUCAUGAUAUAUAUAGUUUCUUACCCUUAAUCAAUGGUUUCUAAGUGAAUUUAUAUAGAAAGAAAUCCAAACUGUAGACAGCAGUAUUGGUAACACUCAAUAUUCUGUAUAUAAUAGAAUAAAUAGCGUCACAGUGAUCGUCGCCUACAAGCAAGGUACAAAUACCACAAAGAGUGACCCACAUAGACAUUCCCCAACAAGAUGUAGUAGUGACUGACACAUAGCCACAAUUAACACGUAGAAAAGGAUAAGACCGGUGCACAGUAGCUCUUAUUUUACAUACUACUUAUGCCAACCAAAGUCACUCAGUUGGGAUGGGAGGGAGAUGGAGGUUUGUGCGGUGGCUUGUGGGGCGGAGUUGAUGGCUUCUUUCCAGGAGCUUCUGGCUUUUUCAUCGGAGCUGAAGGAGGCUCAAUCUUAUGAGGCGGCUUGUACGAGUCUUCUUUGCUCUCGAAAGGAGGGUGGCCAGGGUUGUGACCAUAAUGUGGUGGUUUCUCUCCCUUGGGAGGUUUACCAAUUGGGGUUGGUGGCUUGUGUUCUGGGAGUGGUUUCUCUCCCUUGGGAGGUUUAGUGGGUGACUUGUGUUCUGGAGGUGGCUUCUCCACCGAAGGCUUGUGCUCCGGUGGUGGCUUUUUGGUUGGAGGGGGCUUGGGGUAAUCAGCAAGAGAUGGGGUGGUGAGAACCACCAGUCCAAGGAACAACACUAGCAAGUAUGUGGGAGACAUUUUUGAGUUUGGGCUGAUCAGAUGAUGCAAAACUAAAGCAUUACGUGACCUUUUAUAGCAAGUAGCUCCCAAUACCUACUUGACACGUGUUACUGUGACCCAUAAAUAUUAUGGGGUCUAUUUGUGCCCUACCGGGUUGAAAACUUGGACAAUUGGGCAAGGACCCGCCUGACUAUGGAGGACUACUGAGGUGUGAUCACAGCUUUAGGAUUUUUCUUCCUCUGCAGCCGUCUUGCCGUUGGCAUGAUUUUCUUAAUCUCAAAUAAAGGCAUAGUUAUAGAGUUGUUUAAUCUCUAAAUGGGAUUUUAUAUAUCUUCAGAUAGCCAUUAAUACAUUUGAUGAAGAAAGAAAGACAAGUGCAUACAACAUGUAUACGACUAGCUUUCAUGGAGUUCAUUUAUGAUCAGUUUUCCUGUACAUGUAAACCAAGAUCAUAUAUGUUUUUGUUCCACAACAAUUUUGGAAUCUUGUUUAUCCGUUUUUAUCAUUAUAAUGUCACAUAGGCUGCCAACUUGGGCGCUAAAUUAAAGAUCCAGUUGGGCAAGUUCGUUUCAGAAUUUCAAUGGUGGAUUCAGGAAUUGUUUUAUAAGAUAUGCAAAAUAGUAGAGGGAUGAAUAGUGUUUCAUUAAGAAAAGAGCCCUGUAAAAAUAUUGUUUAAAGGUGCCAUAGAAACUAUAAUCAAUAAAUAACUUUUUUUCCCCAUGGGUGGUGUUUCUUGUGGGGAUCAGUGACUGGUUUGAGUCAACGCCGUGUCUCUUUAGUCCAGAAAUCAACUAUUUUAUGCAUUGAAUACAUCAACAAAGAAAAUAUGAAAGCCAAAUGACACCUCCCCCGCAAAAACUAAACCCUGGUUGCUAACUUUCUAUGUUUCAGUUCCAUUCACACAAGAAUAUUAGUUCAAGUUUGAGAAAAAUGGCGACUUACCUAGUGAUAACUCGGUCUUGGUUUGCGAUUUGACUUUAACGUCAUGGGUUGAAGCCUCCUACAAUCAUCGUGUAUGCUAGUUCAAAGCUCGUGGAAGAAGUUAUACAGGGAGGGAGAAACCUCCACAGCAAGCUCCAAAAGAGAAUUAUCACAUUGAAAGCUCCAGUUGAACACUGGGUGAAAGCCAUAACAAGAUUGGUUUUCUAUCGCUCUUUUAAGUAAUGGAAGAUUAUUAUCUCUGCUUGUCACUACAACCGUGCAUGCUGCUAGAUCUUUCUAGACACUUCAAACAGUGAAACCAAGUAUGAUUCUUUUUCUCUUGAGUGGGUCCACUUGCAUGCCAAUGAACGAGUUGAAAAGUUGGACAAUUGGCCACAGCGCGCACUUACCUUCUGGAACCGAAGGUCAGUGAAGUGGGGUUCCUUUUGGCCCCUUGUGUUUCUGUUCCAACCUACUCCAGGAACCGAAGUUCAGUGAAGUGGGGCUACUUUUGGCCUCUUGUGUUUCUGUUCCAACCAAACAAAAAUGGGAGGGAAAAAUAGCAUUAUGCUUGUGCUAAAGAUCAACGCAUGAUAGCUGAAUAAGGGAGAAAAAGGCAUUGCUAUCUCAAUUUCAUAAACUUGAUAAGUAGUGACAUUAAUAGUCUUCCUCAUAGAUGGAUACAUGGUUUUAUUUUAUUUAUUUAUUUUUAUUUUUUUGUUUUAUGUCAAUGCUAAUGAAUGAAGUGCAUUAGCUUGUUUUGUGACUAGAACUACAAAUGUCCAAAUUGGAGCUUCUCCAAUAUAUUUCUCAGUGAGUUAUUGAUUAGAACUCUUGGAUUGAGUUCCAAGAUUUGAAUCAGACCCCUCUAGCAGCUUCAGGGGUACGUAGCAACCUAUAGCAUAUUAAUGAAGACUUAGGAUUUAGACUUAGGAAUACAAAUUAAUAUGUACCUCAUGCUCUGACUAGCUUCCCUGCGUAUGCACAAAAUGGAGAUGACUCCCAAAAAAAUAGCAGAAUCGCCUUAGUAUGUUUUUGUGGUUAAGAUGAUUCUCCACUUUAUAUAUCCACAUUGGUUCAUUAUGCAAAUUAAUCAACUAAGCUAUUUUUAUUUUUUCUUAAAUGUGAAAUAGGAGCUCCAAAUUAACCUAACCAUUGGCCUGAUUGAAUUGAUUUCACUUGCAUAAUGUUAUAGUAGAAGUCCGUAAUUUGAAUUUUAUUUUUGCAAAAGGUAACGUAAAUGAAGCAUUGUAAUUAAAUUUAUUUGUAAUUACAAACUAAUUUUAUUUUAUUAAGAAUUAAUUUAAUUACUCAUUUAAAAUAAAAAUCAGUUAUACUUUUACCAAGAUGAUAAUAUUCAUAUUUUUCUAGUUAACAUAUAUAAAAUAGUACACUUUUUCAUAUAAAAAAAUAAUUUAUGAUUUAUUAUAAUGUUACUAUUCACAUUUUACUAAAUUGAUGGUACAUGAUAGUGAGAGAAGGGGGUGUCACACUCAGCUAAAGUUCUUUUCAAAAUAUUGCAUGGUGUUUAAUUUUAUGUGUCGGCGCGCGUGUGAAUGGAACCUGCAAAAGUCCAAAUUGGCGUUUCUCCAUUUUCCACAUAGGAUGGUGACGUUAAUAGACAAAGAUACAAUAUCUGUAGACAUUGCUUAAAAAUCGAUGUGAAGUAUUAGAAAUUACAGGGCACUGUACUGGGGGAGCGGCUGCCCCGCCAAAGGAGGAAGAAUGUAGCAAUUUCUUCUGUUAGCCAGGCCUUAGGAUUUAUGCAUGGGAUGCCUAAUAACAAACAGAGAAAAUAUACUUUUGGGGAAGGUAUCCAACAACAGACACCAUCAUUCAGAUGGUGGGAAGGUAUCCAACAGAUGCCAUCAUUCAGAUGGUAACAUAUAUAUACAUUUAUUAGUGAGUUUUUUUAAUACCUAUAAAAAAAAAUAUACACUUUGAUAUUGUGGCUGAAUCCAUUACAUACUCAACUAACCUUGCUCAUUAGGGAUUUGACUUAACAAGGGCAACGUUGCAGUACAAGCUCAAAACUUUAUGCAGGUGACAUUACAUUUGGUAAAGAAGAGGAAAAUAACGAAAGCCAUCCAUAAAAGCAAAAUUCCACAUGGGAUGAAAUUCACAAGCUUCAUUUACGAUAGAGUCGCAUCCAGGCAAUUAAUUCCACAUUAGACCGCCUGUUGACAUGUGUACCAAUCUUUUUUCAAAAAAUAUUUAUAAAUAAUUGAUACUCACAAAAAUAAUUUAAUAUUUAUAAAGGAUAAAAAAAUAUUUUCAAAUCUAUAACAAUUUAUAAAAUAUUAAUAAAAAAUUAUCUCUUAAACUUAGUAUAGUUUUAUCAGAUUAAACUUUUAUUUUGAACAAAUAAUUUUAAUCUAAGUUUUAAAUUCUAAAAUUAUUUCCUUAAAAUAAAAUUUUAAAAUUCAACACUUCAAUUGAAAUUGUCUUUUUAAAAAAUAUCUUCUUAUUUUAAUCCUUAUAAACUAUAGUUGAUUGAAAAUACUAUUGAAGUUCUCUCUUAAAAAAAAGUCUUAUUUUAAUCUUCAUAAAUUGCCCUUGAUUUGAAAAUAAAUUUUCAGUUAUCAUAUUUUAAAUAAUAUCUAUAUUUAAAAUACUCUAUUUAAAAAAAAAUGAACUAAUUUUAAUUAUAUUAUAUUUUAUUUUUUUAUAUAUUUUUAAUGAUAAACCAAACAUAGAAAAUCAUUUUUCUAAAUAUUUUAAAAUUUCUAAGCAACCAAACAUAAUCUUCAAAAUAAAAGGAAAAUAAGGAGGGACAUUUGAGAAAUGGCGAUUAAAAAAAAGUGUACAAAAGCUCAAUUAAUUUUCUUCUAGUCUUUUAUAUAAAAAAGUAAAGGAAUUGAAAAGUAUUGAUAUGUAAAUUAAUAUUUGGAUUUUAAUAGUAUUUUAUUUGUCUUUCUCUAUCUCAUGUAAAAGAGAAUUUAAGAUAUUUCCUAAAGCAAAGCAUUAGUUAUCUGCAAUCAGUGGUGAUCAUGCCCCAUGUCAAUUUCGGACCCAUAUCUUAAAACUGUAUAAUUUGCAUUCAAACAUUACUGAUUUCUCAGAUGUUUCAUACUCCACAGAAGAGCAUUGUUUGUGAAAGCAUGCAUUUAUGUUGGAUUUUGGAUGAUGUGGGAACUGGGGCAAGGAUCAUAUGGAAGAGUGGUCGAUUUUGUUCUGUACUUUAACAUUUGAAAUAGGAGAAGCUCGGGCAUUUGUGGGGCUUAAUUGAUUUUGAAGCCUGAAAUUGCGUUUCUGUCAUUUUGUAAAAAAUAUGGCAGAUUCCAUGCUCUCAUAUGUUUGGUCUGUGGCCAUGUAUAGAUGCCCCUUAGUGACCAGUUUGUAACUGUCAAUCAUAGUGUUUUGACUCUGGCUCAACAACAUCAGCCAUUGACGGAUUUUCAUACUUGCAAAUCAAAUAGUCUUCUUCCUCCCUUAGGAAUUUCGGUUUAAAUGUUAUUAAGCAUACAUUUGGCUGACAAUUAUUAACCACUUCAUGAUAUGGUUUCUUACCCUUAAUCAAUGGUUUCUAAGUGAAUAUAUGCAGAAGGAAAUCUGAACUGUAGACAGCAGUAUUGAUAACUCUCAAUAUUCUUUAUAUAAGAGAAUAAACAACGUCAUAGUGAUCGUCGCCUACAAGAAAGGUACAUUUCCCAACAAGAUGUAGUUGUGACUGGUACAUGGACGCAAUUAACUCGUACAAAAGAAUAAGACCAGUGCACGGCAGCUCUUAUUUUACAUGCUAAUUAUGCUAACCAAAGUCACUCAGUUGGGAUGGGAGGGAGAUGGAGGUUUGUGCGGUGGCUUGUGGGGCGGAGUUGGUGGCUUCUUUUCAGGAGCUUGUGGCUUUUUCGGAGCUGAAGGAGGCUCAAUCUUAUGAGGCGGCUUGUACGAGUCUUCUUUACUCUCGACAGGAGGGUGGCCAGGGUUGUGACCAUAAUGUGGUGGCUUCUCUCCCUUAGGUGGCUUGCCAACUGGGGUUGGUGGCUUGUGUUCAGGAAGUGGUUUCUCUCCCUUGGGAGGUUUACCAAUUGGGGUUGGUGGCUUGUGUUCUGGGAGUGGUUUCUCUCCCUUGGGAGGUUUAGUGGGUGACUUGUGUUCUGGAGGUGGCUUCUCCACCGGAGGCUUGUGCUCCGGUGGUGGCUUCUCCACCGGAGGCUUGUGCUCCGGUGGUGGCUUCUUGAUUGGAGGGGGCUUGGGGUAAUCAGCAAGAGAUGGGAUGGUGAGAACCACCACUCCAAGGAACAACACUAGCAAGUAUGUGGGAGACAUUUCUGAGUUUGAGCUGAUCAGAUGAUGCAAAACUAGAAGAAUUACGGGACCUUUUAUAGCAAGUAUCUCCCAAUACCCACAUGACACGUGUUACUAUGACCAUAAAUAUUAUAGGGUCCAUUUGUGCCCUACCGGGUUGAAAACUUGGACGCUUGGCCGAGGACACACCUGACUAUGGAGGACUAUUGACGUGUGAUCACAGCUUUUGGAUUUUUCUUCCUGUGCAGCUGUCUAGCGGUUGGCAUUAUUUUCUUAAUCUUAAAUAAAGGCAUAGUUAUAGAGUUGUUUAAUCUCUAAAUGGGAUUUUAUAUAUCUUCAGAUAGCCAUUAAUAUAUUUGAUGAAGAAAGACAAGUGCAUACAACAUGUAUACGGCUUGCUUCAAUCGAGUACAUUUAUGAUCAGUUUUCCUGUGCAAGUAAACCAGUUUUUUGUUCCACAACUAUUUUGGAAUCUUGUUUAUCAGUUUCUAUCAUUAUAAUGUCACAUAGGCUGCAAACUUGGGCACCCAAAGAUCUAGGUGGGCAAAUUUGUUUCAGACUUUCAAUGGUGGAUUCAGUAAUUGUUAAAAGGUGUUUCUUCAUUAAGGAAAGAGUCCGGUAAAAAUAUUGUUAAAAGGUGUCAUAGAAACUAUAAUAAAUAAAUAACUUCUUUUCCCCAUGGGUGGUGUUUCUUCUGGGGAUCAGUGACUGGUUAGGGUCACCCAAAAUGAGUCCAGAUUAAAAUUGGUUCGAGUCAAAGCAGUCUCUUUUGUCCAGAAAUCAACUAUUUUGCGCAUUGAAUGAAUCGAUAAAGAAAAAAUGAAAGCCAAAUCACACCUCCCCUGCAAAACCUAAACCCCGGUUGCUAACUUUCUAUGUUUCAGUCCUAUUCAUAUAGGAAUAUUGGUUCAAGUUUGAGAAAAAUGGCAACUUACCUAGGGUUUACUUGGUUUUGGUUUGCGACUAUUUACGCAACCAACCAUGAGUUUGACUUUAACGUCAUGGGUUGAAGCCUCCUACAAUCAUGUAUGAUAGUUCAAAGCUCGUGGAAGAAAUUAUACAGGAAGGAAGAAACCUCCAAAGCUAGCUCCAAAAGAGAAUUAUCACAUCGAUAGCUCCAGAGAUUCCCAAGGGAACUGAAUCAAAGACAAGUUCCUCACUUUUUCUUCUUUUGAGGCCAAAUAUGAACCAAGGAUCACACGACCUCAUUCAACUUCAUAAGUUUGAUUUCAUGCAGUUGAACACUGGGUGAAGGCCAUGACAAGAAUUGAUUAAAAAAUUCUACCACUCUUUUAAGUAAUGGAAGAUUAUUAUCUCUGAUUGGCACCACAACAGCACAUGCUGCUAGAUCUUUCUAGACACUCCAUGCAAUGAAAGCACAAUGGAUCUUGUAAUGAUAGAAACUAAGCCAUGCUACAGUACUAGAUGAGGGGGUAAAACUAGUAGACAUCUUUCUAGACACUCCAUGCAAUGAAAGCACAAUGGAUCUUGUAAUGAUAGAAACUAAGCCAUGCUACAGUACUAGAUGAGGUGGUAAAACUAGUAGACAUGGCUGGCAGUUGAUUACUACUCAAAAAGUACUCUUUUAUAGCUUGAAACUAACUGUUUUAAACACUUUUGAGUAGUAGUUAAUACCUUUUAACUUAAUUGGCACAUUAAGGAACCUAGCAAGGGUUACUAAUCAACAUUUGGCAAGUUUUGAUGUUUUUGGUAGCUAUUUGAUCAUUGAAACAAGCCAAGAAUGAGGGGGAAUUUUGUGAAGUCCAUGGCAAUGCAAGUUAAAGCUCAAAUACAUGAAGAAUCCAAGCUUUGGAGCACUUCAUAGCCCUUUGCCAAGCCAAUCAAAGAUGCAAGGAAGAAAACCAAAGGAAGAAAUCCAACAAUCAGCAUUUUGGCAUGGCUAUGUGAAAUUUCGCACACCAUGCGAAACCACAAGAGGCAGCCAAAGAAUUUCGCAUGGUAUGCGAAAUCUUCUUGUGCACUGACUCUGUUAGAUUUUUAUCUUCAGAUAUUUUGUGUAAUUUCCUAGUUUCUCCUUGUAACCAACUUAGAUAUUUUCUUUUAUAUCUUUUUUUAUAUUUUUUAGGUAACAUCAUAUAUAAGAGGAGAGACAUAAGGAGGAUAUGGAUGUUUUUCAUAGAACACUUGUAAAUUUUUGGUAGUAAGAAAUAUACAAAGCUUUUUGCUCUGCCUUACCUUCUCAAGGGAUGAGUGGCUAGGUUUUCUUGGAGUGAGGGAAGCUAGGUGAAGGACCUGAAUGCAAAGGUGGGAGUUUUCCUUACUUUAAAUGAAAGUAGUUGUUAAACAUUAAUGGUUUUUAUUUUAAGGUUUAGCUUUAAAUCCCUGAAAAACACCUUGAAUGGCCAAUACUUGGUAAGCUUUUUAGAUUCUAUGGAUGCUUAUUGCUAGAUCCAUGGAUGUCUAUUAGUUAUCAUUUACGAGCCAUUGGAAGGUGAUUCAAGGUGAGGGUCUUUAGUGUUUGAAGCCAUUAAUGGGAAGCAAUUACCAUUUUUUCAUGAAUCCUUUGGAUCAAAUCUUAAUUGCUAAAUAUAAAACCGGUUUCGAGAGAUAACCACCAUCCUUUAUGUUAUUAUCCCCAACGCGAGGAGAAGAUCCGAAAUCUUCCUUUUUAUCUAAGGAACCCGAUCCUAGUGACCUAAAGCUCCAAGAUACCUUUUCUUUGUAGUUAACUUCAUUUAUUGUUUUUGCUUAACUUAAAAUCAAUCUUUGCAACCACAAUUCCAUUUUCUUUAAAAGCUAAUUUUUAUAAGGAAAAACACCAUUUUAUUUCCUUCACUAAGUCAACUGUACGAUGAAAACCCAUCCCUGUGGACGAUCCUAGAGCCACUAUACUAUGUUAGCUAUGCUACCCUAGUGUGAGGUGAUUUAGGUUUUAUAAAUUUUUUUGAUAACACCCAUCUGAGCCAGAAUCAAAUGGCACGACUGAACCAGGGACGAAUCAAAUGACGCCGCUACCAAGGAUGGUGCCAAAGUACAUUGACAUGACUUUUGGUGAACACUUGUGAUCUUCACCACAAGUUUGGUGAUUUUUCUUUUACUAAUUUUUUUUAUUUUAGCUUAUCUUUUAUUUAGUUUUUAGUUAACCUUAAAUUUUUCCUAGAAUUGUAUUUCUUUUGUUUUCUUUGUUUUUGUUUCAGUGAUCUUUAGUUGUGCAUGCCCUAUUGGAUAAGAGAUAUUGAGGGAAUACUUGUGAAGAUUGAAACUCCUCGAGAAACUGAGUUAGAAGUGUGCUUGAACAUCAUGGAUGUUCCACCUGAAGACCAGAAUAGCCAACAUGGUUAAGAGGAUAAUUUCAACACAUACCGAUCCAUGAGGAACCGCAUACAUCCACCUUGUAUGAGUGCACCGUCAGGCAUAAUGCCUCCCACUGAGCAGCUAGUAAUCUGACCUCACAUUGUGCCACUCCUACCUACUUUCCAUGGGAUGGAGAGUGAGAAUCCCUACUCGCAUAUUAAGGAAUUCGAGGAGGUUUGUAAUACAUUCCAAGAAGGAGGAGCUUCAAUUGACUUGAUGAGGCUCAAGCUAUUUCCUUUCACUUUGAAGGAUAAGGCCAAGAUUUGGCUUAAUUCUUUAAGGCCAAGAAGUAUCCAAACUUGGAUUGAUUUGUAAGCCGAGUUUCUUAAGAAGUUCUUCCCUACCCAUAGGACCAAUGGUUUGAAAAGGCAAAAUUUGAACUUCUCAGUUAAAGAGAAUGAGAAAUUCUAUGAGUGUUGGGAGAGCUACAUGGAAGCUAUUAACGUUUGUCCUCACCAUGGCUUUGACACAUGGCUCUUAGUGAGCUAUUUUUACAAUGGUAUGUCUUCUUCAAUGAAGCAACUCCUAGAAACUAUGUGUGGAGGAGACUUCAUGAGUAAGAAUCCGGAGGAAGCCAUGGACUUUUUGAGUUAUGUGGCUGAAGUUUCAAGAGGAUGGGAUGAACCAAAUGCUAGAGAGGUGGGAAGAAUGAAGUCUCAACCUAAUGCUAAGGGUGAGAUGUAUGUUUUGAAUGAAGACAUUGACAUGAAAGCAAAGGUUGCAGCUAUGGCAAGGAGAUUGGAAGAGCUAGAAAUGAAGAACAUACAAAAAGUGCAAGCCAUUUCUGAGACAUCAAUGAAAGCUAUGCCUUGUUCCAUUUGUCAAUCUUAUAAGCACCUAGUGGAGGAGUGUCCUACAAUUCCAGCAGUGAGAGAGAUGUUUGGUGAUCAAGCAAAUGUUAUUGAUCAAUUCAAGCCUAAUAACAAUGCUUCAUAUGGCAACACCUACAAUUCAAAUUGGAGGAACCAUUCAAAUUUCUCUUGGAAACGAAAGCCACCUCAAUACACACAACCUACUCAAGCACCUUAGCAAUCCUCGAAUCUUGAACAAGCUAUUGUGAACCUUAGCAAGGUUGUGGGAGACUUUGUGGGAGAUCAGAAGUCCAUCAAUGCUCAACUGAAUCGGAGAAUUGACAGUGUGGAGAGUACAUUGAACAAAAGGAUGGAUGAGAUGUAAAAUGAUCUGUCUCAAAAGAUAGACAAUGUCCAAUACGUAAUCUCAAGGCUUACCAACCUCAACACAGUGUAAGAGAAAGGAAAGUUUCCUUCUCAACCUCAUCAAAAUCCUAAGGGUAUCCAUGAAGUAGAGGCUCAAGAGGGAGAAUCUUCAAAGGUGAGGGAAGUCAAAGUAGUUAUCACCUUGAAGAGUGGUAAAGAGGUUGAUCAACCCACAUCCAAGCCAAAGCAUAAUGAAGAGAGUGUAGCAGAAAAAGAAAAGAGAGGAAAAUAAAGGAAUUAGAAUAGAGAAAAAUACAAAGAAAGAUGACCAUGAGUCUAGUGUGGAUGAAGAGCCCGAGAGGAUGGUGAUCAAGGAAGAUAUGAUGAAGAAACACAUGCCUCCACCUUUCCCCUAAGCUUUGCAUGACAAAAAAAGAACCAAUAAUACAUCAGAAAAUUUUGAAGUAUUGAGGCAAGUGAAGGUCAAUAUCCCUUUGCUAGACAUGAUCAAACAAGUGUCGACAUAUGAAAAAUUCUUGAAGGACUUGUGCACUGUAAAGAGAGGGUUGAAUGUGAACAAGAAAGCUUUAUUGACCGAGCAAGUGAGUUCCAUCAUACAGUGCAAGUCCUAGUGAAGUACAAAGAUCCGGGUUGCCGUACCAUCUCAGUGAGUAUUGGAAGGACUUGUGUGGAGAAAGCUUUGUUGGACUUGGGAGCAAGUGUGAAUUUGCUAUCCUACUCUGUCUAUAAGCAGUUGGGAUUUGGAGAGUUGAAGCCAAUAUCCAUCACUCUAUCUCUAGCGGAUAGAUCAAUGAAGAUUCCAAGAGGGAUGAUCGAAGAUGUCCUGGUUCAAGUUAACAAAUUCUACUAUCCAGUAGAUUUUGUUGUUCUUGAUAUGGAUCCGGUUGUCAAAUGAACUAAUUAUGUUCCUAUCAUACUUGGAAGACCCUUCCUAGCUACAUCAAAUGCAAUCAUCAAUUGUAGGAAUGGAGUCAUGCAACUCACAUUUGUCAACAUGACAUUAGAGCUCAACAUCUUCCAUUUGUACAAGAAGCAUAUCCAUCAGGAGGAAAAAGAAGGUCUAGAGGAAGUGUGAAUGAUUGACACUUUAGUGGAAGAGCAUUGUGAUCGAGAAUGCAAAAAGAUUUAGUUGAGAAUUUUGGGGAUCUUGAUGAAAGGUUACUUGAACCCUCAGAUUUGCUUGCUACCCUACUCCAUUGGAAGAGAAGAGAAGAAAUUCUACCCUUAUUCAAUGAGGAGGAGACGCAAAGAGCUGCAAAGGAGAAACCCCCAAAACUUAUUCUUAAGCCACUACCCACAGAGUUGAAGUAUGUAUACUUGGAAGAAGACAAGAAGUGCCCUAUUGUUAUAUCUUCAACUCUUACCAUUCAUCAGGAGGAUUGUCUACUUGAAGUCCUUAGAAGAUGUAAGAAGACAAUAAGGUGGCUAAUUUCUUAUUUGAAAGGGAUCAGCCCUUUAGUCUGCACCCAUCAUAUUUACAUGGAGGAUGAAGCUAAGCUAAUUCAUCAACCUCAGAGAAGGUUGAACCCUCACAUGCAAGAGGUGGUUCGAGCUGAAGUUCUGAAGCUACUUCAGACCAGUAUUAUUUACCCCAUAUCAAAUAGCCCAUGGGUGAGUCCUACUCAAGUUGCGCCAAAGAAGUCUGGGAUCAUGGUGGUGCAAAAUGAUAAGGGAGAAGAUGUCUCUACACGCCUCACUACAGGUUGGAGGGUGUGUAUCAAUUACAGGAGGUUGAAUGCAGUGAUAAGAAAGGACCAUUUCUCAUUGCCCUUUAUUGAUCAGGUGCUUGAGAGGGUCUCUGGGCUUUUUUUUUUAUUGUUUCUUGGAUGGCUACUCCGGGUACUUUCAGAUAGAAAUUGAUGUUGAAAACCAAGAUAAGACCAUUUUCACAUGCCCAUUUGGAACCUAUGCAUAAAGGAGAAUGCCUUUCGGCUUAUGCAAUGCACCCGCAACUUUCCAAAGAUGCAUGUUAAGCAUUUUCAGUGAUAUGGUGGAGCGUAUUAUGGAAGUCUUUAUGGAUGAUAUCACCAUUUAUGGAAGUGCAUUUGAUGAAUGCUUGGUCAACUUAGAAGCUGUUCUGAACCGAUACAUUGAGAAAGACUUAGUGCUUAACUGGGAGAAGUGCCAUUUCAUGGUACACCAAGGGAUUGUCCUUGGGCACAUUAUCUCCAAGCAAGGCAUUGAAGUUGACAAAGCAAAGGUUGAACUCAUUGUUAAGUUGCCAUCCUCAACAAAUGUCAAAGGAGUAAGGCAAUUCUUUGGCCAUGUCGGGUUCUAUAGGAGGUUUAUCAAGGAUUUCUCUAAGCUUGCAAGGCCUCUUUGUGAAAUAUUGGUGAAUGAUGUUAAAUUCAUAUGGGAUGAUGGAUUUGAAAGGAGUUUUGAAGAAUUGAAGCUAUUUUUGACAACCGUACCAAUAGUGAGGGCUCCCAACUGGCAACUGCCCUUUGAAGUAAUGUGUGAUGUCAAUGAUUUUGCUAUAGGAUUUUUUCUUGGGCAAAGAGAAAAUGGAAAACCUUAUGUGAUCUACUAUGCGAGGAAGGCAUUGAAUGAGGCACAAAGAAACUACACAACCACCGAGAAAGAAUUGUUAGCUGUAGUUUUUGCCUUGGAUAAGUUUCGCGCUUACUUGGUGGGGUCCUUCAUCAUGGUUUUUACUGAUCACUUUGCUUUGAAGUAUCUGUUGACUAAGCAAGAUGCUAAAGCAAGGCUGAUUAGAUGGAUUCUCUUACUUCAAGAGUUCAAUCUCCAUAUCAAAGAUAAGAAAGGAGUGGAGAAUGUGGUAGCAGACCACAUUUCAAGGCUAGCUAUCGCACAUAAUUCCCAUGCUUUGCCCAUUAAUGACGAUUUUCUAGAGGGGUCUCUCAUGUUGGUGGAAGUUGUCCCUUGGUACGCUCACAUUGCUAACUACCUGGUCACGGGAAAAGUUCCAAGUGAGUGGAAAGCACAAGAUAAGAAGCACUUCUUUGCAAAAAUUCAUGCCUACUAUUGGGAAGAGCCAUUUCUAUUCAAGUAUUGUAUGGAUCAGAUAAUAAGGAAGUGCGUUCCUGAAGAAGAGCAACAGGGGAUCCUUAGUCAUUACCAUGAAAAUGCAUGUGGAGGCCACUUUGCUUAUCAAAAGACAGCCAUGAGGGUGUUGCAAUCGGGUUUCUGUUGGCCAUCACUUUUCAAAGAUGCCCACACCAUGUGCAAGAGUUGUGAUCGAUGCCAGAGGCUUGGGAAGUUGACACGCAGGAACAUGAUGCCUUUGAACCCCACUUUAAUAGUUGAUAUUUUUUAUGUUUGGGGCACUAACUUCAUGGGACCUUUCCCUAUGUCUUUUGGCUACUCUUACAUCUUGGUAGGAGUAGAUUAUGUUUCUAAGUGGGUUGAGGCAGUCCCAUGCAAACACAAUGACCAUAGAGUGGUUCUCAAGUUUCUUAAAGAGAAUAUCUUCUCAAGAUUUGGGGUGCCCAAAGCCAUAAUUAGUGAUGGGGGUACUCAUUUUUGCAACAAGCCUUUUGAAACUCUCCUAGCCAAGUAUGGGGUGAAGCAUAAGGUAGCUACACCUUACCACCCUCAAACUCAUGGACAAGUUGAGUUAGCAAACAGGGAGAUUAAAAACAUAUUGAUGAAGGUGGUGAACACAAACAGAAAAGAUUGGUCAGUCAAGCUUCUUAAUUCACUAUGGGCAUAUAGAACAACUUACAAGACCAUUCUCGGGAUGUCUCCUUAUCGCCUAGUUUAUGGCAAAGCAUGCCAUCUCCCUGUGGAAUUGGAAUACAAAGCUUGGUGGGCAAUCAAGAAGCUCAACAUGGAUUUGAGCAGAGCUGGGUUGAAGAGGUUCUUAGACCUUAAUGAGAUGGAGAAAUUGAGAAAUGAUGCCUACAUCAAUUCAAAAAUUGCAAAAGAAAAAUUGAAGAGGUGGCAUGAUCAGUUGAUUUCCCGCAAGGAUUUUCAAAAUGGACAAAGAGUCUUACUUUAUGACUCUAAACUCCACAUCUUUCCGGGCAAGCUGAAAUCAAGGUGGAUAGGUCAUUUUACCAUUCACCAAGUGCAUUCAAAUGGAGUAGUGGAACUACUCAACUCCAACAAUAUCGAGAACUUCAAAGUGAAUGGCCACCGUCUCAAGCCCUUUGUGGAGUCUUUUUCUCACAACAAGGAGAAAUUCAUCCUCCUUGAUCCACAUCAAGCUUAACAAGACCAAUUUUCUUGAUGGACUUAGUCUUUCUAAAGACUAUCGAGUCCAUAACUUUUUGUUUUAUUUUUUAUUUGAGAUUUUUUCGGUAUUGUUACUUGUUUUGUUUUUUAUUUUUCGUUUUAAUUUUAUUUGGUUUGAUUUAACUUAGGUUUUUGAUGAUCAAUUACAGGGGGGAUUUCAAAUAGAGGAAAAACCAAGAUAAUUCGCACACCCUACGAAAAUUUCGCAAGGCAUGCGAAAUUUAUGGCUUAUUUUGCAUGGGGUGAAAAUUUUCGUACAUCUUACGAACCAAUUUCGAACACUUUGCGAAAAUAAACCAACCCUGCGAAAUCAUUUCGAUUACUCUACGAAAUUUUCGUAGAGCAUGCGAAAAAUUUAGCACACCAAACACCAUUUCGCAUACUAUGCAAAAACCUAAGGGGUCUGCGAAACCAUUUCGCACCUCCAAAUCCAUUUCGCACAUUGUGCGAAAACCAAGAGGCGCUGUGCGAAAAUGAAAAGUCGCCCUGUCAUCCCUUUUUAAACCCCUCGAGCCCUAAAAUCUCCAUUUCGCAAGCACCCCUGUCCUUGCGAAUCCCUCAUUUUCCUCUACUACCUUGCAACCUCGUCCCUUUCCAUUUGAUAUUGUGCCCCGCGCACAUCUCAUUUCAGAGACUCGCACUCCGCGCCCCCUCAAAGCAUGGACUCGAGACCCACCUUCCAUUUCCGACGUGGCACGGACCCAAGGAGCCCUUUCUGCCCCUUCACUAAGACACACACCAAGGCAGAAAGCCUCCUUUGCUCAAGUGCCUAGUGAUUCUCCAUCUUAGGCCUCAGAGGCCUCGGAGGCCCCGUGGAUUCCACCUUCCGAGGGUAGAGCAGCCAUUGGUCCUUCCUCUUCUACUCCUUAGCGUAGAUACGAGACGAGGAGACCACCUACUACACAAGGGGCGACUACUUCGAGCCUUGAGAAUUCAGUACGAUGCCUUCCUGCCAAGAGGGUCAAGACUUCAGGUCCAAGUGAGUCAUCCAGAGCUUCAUAGCCUAAGCCUCCUGUAGAUUCCAAGGUUCCUACUGACAUAUCACCGGAGUCUAUUAUCAGAAGCCCGAUGCUCAUAGCACCGCCCAUUGAGGGCAACUCAGAUUAUAGAGCGAGAUCUUUCCACUUGGAGCUAUAUUUUGAUCAGGAGGCCAUACGACAGCAGCCUGAGCUCCGAGACUCUUAUGGCUUACUGCAGAGGUACCAUCUUGAGGAACUUAUGACUCCUCGUGAGUUUUUUUAUCCCAGAGUAGCACUAAACUUUUACCAGUCCAUGACUACUCGUGGCGUCCCGAGUCCUACCACGAUUCACUUCACCAUUGAUAGACGUCAUGGUAUCCUCAAGGCCAGACAUAUUACAGAGGCUCUACAAAUUCCUUUCGAGCUAGAGGAUCCAUCUGUUUUUCGCUAAUGGUCCCCAGUAUCUCAGAGGGACAUGGUCCGUAUUUUAUCUAGGGGAACAUCUACAGAUUCGAUCUUUCUACGGAAGGAGCUUCGACCUGGGAUGCUCCUCUUAGAUGUGGUGCUAUGCUCCAACCUCUUUCCCUUACAACAUUCGGUACAUAGGUGAUGAGCUAUUUUGGACGCUUUAUUCCGUAUAUCAGAGGGCUUCUACUUUGGCCCGCACCACUUGAUCAUGGUCUCCCUCAUCCACUUUGAGGAGAAGGUUCAUAGGAAGAAGCUUCAGAGGGUGGACACCAUUCCAUUACUAUUCCUGAGGUUACUUUGCCAGGUCUUGGAGUACAUGGGCUUUCCUACUGAGCCUCGGCUCGAGCUUUGCCGCCUUUGUCGAGAGUGAUCCACUCUCGACAAAUGGAAUUAGUUGGCGGGCUAUUCUGCACCUCCAGGAGCCCCUCCCAUGGUAGCACCUCCAAUGUCCCCACAGGCAAAGUAGGGCGAGCUCCCGGCAAAGACUGUACCACCAAUGCCCACACUUGAGGCUAUUUCUGCUGCUCUGCCUAUGACUCCUACUGUUCCACCAGUUGGUCCUUUUACAUCCGAGCCUUCCAUCACCAUCUCGGCUUCGGAGUUUCGCGCCCUUGUGCAUACCUUUCAGACACUCACCACCACACAUACUCCUCUCUUCUAGCAAAUGGUUGAGAUGUGUGCCCAUCAGGACCGGAAGACUACUAUACUCUGCCAAAUUCAGCAGCACCUAAGACUUUUGCCUCAACCUCAACCUAACCAUCCCAUAUCAUCAGAGCCUCUAGCUCCAACUGAGGAUACUAUUCCACCUGAGAACACUACCACAGUAGAGGUCCGGUUUCCACCACCUUAAGAGGCCACCACAGCUACAUCAGAGGAUGUGUCAUCUCCACUUGAGGCUCCCACUACUUGAUCAUAGGACAUAUCUUUAUCUUAUUGUAUUUACAUAUUAUAUUACUAGAGAUUUGUCCUUGUUUUGAUACUUUAUAUUCUGGGAUUGGAUGUAUUGCCUGAUGAUAUCUCAAUUGUACUUUCUCAUAUUAAUAUAUAGACAUCAAUUUUUUUUAGUAUACUUAGCAUUUUUCUAUUUCCUCUACUCAUUACUCUUUUGUUUUUUUUUACUCAUGUGGUUUCUCUUAUACAACUCAGACUCCAUUUCACUCAGGAGGUACCACUUCCUCCCUUUAUUUUCAAUUGCUCUUGAAAUAUUGAGUGCAAUGUUGAUCUUGGUUGGGGGGAGAGUUGAGGAAGGAAGUUUUGUUAAUAAUGCUAGGUUAAUUUGUUAAUUUAGUUACUUUCUGCUUAAUUUUAAAAGUUUUCACUCUACUUUCCAUGGUUAUUAAGGAAAAAUUCUCAAAAUGAAAUGGGAGAAAUCGAAUUCUUGCAUUUUUACUUGAAUCUUAGAAUUUGUAUCAUGCUUAUUAAAGUUGAUGAAUUAUUGAAACUCCUAUUGAAUUCAACCUUAUUUUUUCCACUUUAAUCUUACCACACACGGUGCACAUUAGGUUCCAGUUAUAAGAUAAAAAACUAUCUCACCCCCUAAACUUAGAAAAAUUUACACUUGGUACCUUUGACAUCGUUUUAAUAGUGUUGGGACACCUUAUAAAAGGCCAAUGAGCCUUUAAAAAAAAAAAAAAAAAAAAAAAGAGAAAGAACAAAGUAUUGCACUUGCCUUGAAACCUGAGCAAGAUCCGAGGGGUAUACAGUGAAAGUCUUUAAAACCUGGUGCCCUAAGCCUUGAUUGGUUGGGAGUCACCGACCUCAAUGCUCGUUAUAAGGGUGAAUAGGUGGAGUUUAACAUAUUGUAGGUGCUUGGGUAUUGAAUUUCAAUCUCAAAAGUCCGGGAAAAAAUCUAAGGAGUUAGUGGUCAAAAGAUCCUUAAAGCUUGAUGCCCUAAACCUUGAUUGGUUGAGAGUCAUUGAUGGAUCCCCGCUACAUGGACAUUUUAGAAAACAAUACCUUUAGCAUUGCACGCCUACAAUGAAAAAAAAAUGUGAAAUAAAAGAGGUGCGUUCUUAGCCUAUUGGAGGUUGGUCAGUUUGCUAAAGUUUGAGAAAUCUAGGUUGGGGGGAGAGAAUAGUCCGACAUACUAUAAUAAAAAACUAAUAACCUUAACACUUAGAUUUUUGUGGAAGAGUAAGGAUUGGACCUUUAGGGGUGGAAAUUCUUUUGAUGCUUAAAUUUGCAUAAUGCCUACUCUUUAUAAAUUAUGAUUAGGCAAGAGAUUUGAUGACUCUUGUUCAAAGUUGGGUUUUUCCUCUUUGAUGUUCCAUGAGAGAGUAUAAUCCUCAUCAUGCCACUUGAAAUCUUUUUGGAGUGAUUAACAUGAUUUUGUAAAUUAUUUUACUGUCUAUUUUUCUUUAUCUCUCUUUUAUUGCUAAUGGACUAGCAAUAUGUCAGUUGGGGGGAGUGAUUACUACUCAAAAAGUACUCUUUUAUAGCUUGAAACUAACUGUUUUAAACACUUUUGAGUAGGUGUUAAUACAUUUUAACUCAAUUGGCACAUUAAGGAACCUAACAAGGGUUACUAAUAAGUUUUUGGCAAGUUUUGGUGUUUUUGGUAGCUAUUUGAUCAUUGAAACAAGCCAAGAAUGAGGGAGAAUUUUGUGAAGUCCAUAGCAAUGCAAGUUAAAGCUCAAAUACAUGAAGAAUCCAAGCUUUGAAGCACUUCAUAGCCCUUUGCGAAGCCAAUCAGAGAUGCAAGGAAGAAAACCAGAGGAAAAAAUCCAACAACCAGCAUUUUCGCAUGGCUGUGCGAAAUUUUGCACACCAUGCGAAACCACAAGAAGUAGCCAAAGAAUUUUGCACACCAUGCGAAAUUUCGCAUGGUAUACGAAAUCUUCCUAUGCACCAACUCCGUUAUAUUUUUAUCUUCAGAUAUUUUGUGUAAUUUCCUAGUUUCUCCUUGUAACCAACCUAGAUAUUUUCUUUUAUAUCUUUUUUUUAUAUUUUUUAGGUAACAUCAUAUAUAGGGGGAGAGACAUAAGGAGGAUAUGGAUGUUUUUCAUAAAACACUUUUAAUUUUCUGGUAGUAAGAAAUAUACAAAGUUUUUUGCUCUGCCUUACCUUCUCAUUUUGUUUUCACCUAUCUUUCUAGCCAAACAACCUCUGAGAAUGAUUUCUCAGGGGAUGAGUAGUUAGGUUUUACGUUUCUUGGAGUGAGAGAAGCUAGGUGAAAGACCCAAAUGCUAAGGUGGGAGUUGUCCUUGCUUUAAAUGAAAGUAGUUGUUAAAUAUUAAUGGUUUUUAUUUUAAGGUUUAGCUUUAAAUCCCUUAAAAACACCUUGAAUGGCCAAUACUUGGUAAGCUUUUCGGAUUCUAUGGAUGCUUAUUGCUAGAUCCAUGGAUGUCAUUAGUUAUCAUUUAUGAGCCAUUGGAAGGUGGUUCAAGAUGAGAGUCUUUAGUGUUUGAAGCCAUUAAUGGGAAACAAUUACCAUUUUUUCAUGAAUCCUUUGGAUAAAAUCUUAAUUGCUAAAUAUAAAACUGGUUCGGGAGAUAACCAUCCUUUAUGUUAUUAUGCCCAAUGCAAGGAGAAGAUUUCGAAUCUUCUCAUUUGUCUAAGGAACCCGAUCCUAGUGACCUAAAGCUCCUAGAGACCUUUUCUUUGUAGUUAACUUCAUUUAUUGUUUUUGCUUAACUUAAAAUCAAUCUUUGCAACCACAAUUCCAUUUUCUUUAAAAGCUAAUUUUUAUAAGGAAAAGCACCAUUUUAUUUCCUUCACUAAGUCAACUGUAUGAUGAAAACCCAUCCCUGUGGACGAUCUUAGAGCCACUAUACUAUGUUAUCUAUGCUAUCCUAGUGUGAGGUGAUUUAGGUUUUAUAAAUUUUGUUGAUAACACCCGUCUGAGCCAGAAUCAAAUGGAACCACUGAACCAGGGACAAAUCAACAGCCUAUAUGGGAGGGACACAAGUUUAAUUGAUUUGCAUUUCAGCGUUAUAGAUAAGUAUGUUUUGGAAGAUUUGUUCUGGAAAUACUGCACCAAGUACGAUUCUUUUUCUCUUGAGUGAGUCCAUUUGCAUGCCAAUUAACGAGUUGAAAAGUAGGAGCACCUACCUCGUGCUCAUGGAACCGAAUGUCAGUGAAGUGGGGCUCCUUUUAGCCUCUUGUGUUUCUGUUCCAACCAAGGCGGCGUAGGGAAAAACAACAAUAUGUCUGUGCUAAAUAUCAACGCAUGAUAGAUGUUUUUUUUUUUUUUUUUGGUAUGUCAAGGCUAACGAAUGAAAUGCAUUAGCUUGUUUUGUGACUAUAACUGCAAAUGUCCAAAUUGGAGUAUCUCCAUUUCUCACUUCGGAUGGUUAACUUUAUAAACAAGAUAUAGGAAACAUGUGAACAUCUUGAGGAACAAUUCAAAUUAUUCAUUAGAAGUCCUGGGUUAAGUUCCAAGAUUUAAAUCAGACCCUUCUAGCAGCUUCAAGGGUACUUAGCAACCUAUAACAUAUUAAUGAAGAUUUAGGAUUUAGACUCCGGAAUACAAAUAAAUAUGUAUCUCAUGCUUUGACUAGCUUCCCUACAUAUGCAUAAAAUGGAGAUGACCCAAAAAAAAUAGCAGAAUCUAGCUUCCCUACAUAUGCACAAAAUGGAGAUGACCCAAAAAAUAGCAUAAUCGCCUUAGUUUCUGUGGUUAAGGUGAUUCUCCGCUUAAUAUCCACAUUGACUCAUUAUGCAAAAUCAACUGAGCUAAUUUUAUUUAUUUAUUUAAUGUCAAAUAGGAACUCCUAAUUAACUGAUUACUGUCGAAAAGUGCUAUUUUGUAGACCUAAUUAUAAGGGUUUUAAGCACCUUUGAGUAGUAAUCAUAUUCAUUUAACCUAAUUAAUUCAUUAAGCUCCUUAGUAAUUAGUUCUAACCAUUUUUAGUGGCAAGUUUACAUGUUUUUCAUCAGCUUAUGAACCAAUUCAAGCAUGCCAAUUGAUGGAGGAGCUACUUGGGCGAGUUAAGCAAGGAUUUUGGACGUUUACAGGCUUGAAUUUCAAGUGGAAACACGAGCACAAGCAAUGGGAACACCAUUUCGCAAGGGGAGGCAAUUCACCUUGCCAAAUGACCAAUUUCGCAAGGGGAUUUUCCUCAUGGUGCAAAAUUUGGUCAUUUCGCACCAUGAAGAAACCACCUUGCAAAAUUUCGCAAGGUGGAUUUAGGCACCUUGCGAAAUGCCAAAUUUCACAAGGUGGCUUUUCACCUUGCGAAAUUUGGACCUUUCAUCUUCCCCCCUUGCGAAAUGCCUUUGAAAUCCCCUGUUUUGAGACGCUGUUGAUGAUAUUCCACUGCCGGUUCUCCAAGAUAUUUUGCUUGACUUUUAGCUUUAUAAAUACCUAUUUUACCCUUGUAAUCAACCAAUGAAAAGGUUGCUUUUGUAAUAGCUCUUGUAAUUUAGCUUUUUAUUGUCUUUAAAUAGAGGUGAAGAGCCUCAGACACGAUCAUCUUGUAACCUGUAACUUUAUAAGUUAUAAGAGCACUUUUGUUCAUACGCUUCUUUUCUCUUUUCUUUCUCAUUUUCUUAGUAGCCAAACAUCCUUGGAGGAUGAAAUCCCCAAGGAUGAGAGGCUAAAACCUUUUAGUUUCUUGAAGUAAUGGAUGCCAUGUGAAGCUCCCGUGUCAGGAUGGAGAUUUCCAAGCCAUAAAUGUAAGUAGCUGAGCGUCAUAAAUGUUUUCAUUCAAAGUAAAGCUUUUAAUCCCUCUGACUUGCUUUGAAUGGCCAAUACUUGAUAACCUUUUGGUCUCAAUGGAUUCUUAUUGUUAGAUCCACUGACGUUCAUUAGUUAUCUCCUACGAGCCAUUGUAUUGCAAGUCGAGGAGAUGACCUAUACCAAUAAAAGAGCAUUUAUGAGGUUCAACUACCCUUUUUGUAAGUUUUCAAGGACUAAAACUCAGUUGUUAAACUCAUACCGGUUCGAGAAGUAAGCAUCACCUUAGUUGCUUCCCCAACUCGAGGUGAAAAGUCCCAAAAUCUCCAUUUUUACACAGUGAGUUAAGCAUGGCUAUCCAAAGCUUUAAGAAACUUCUUUUUCCAUCUUUUAACCUAUUUUCAUGUUAGUUUAGUUUACAACACCUUCAUCUUUUUAUGUUUUCAUCUUAACCUAAUUUUUAUUAAGAAAAGUUCACUCCAUCCUCCGAACUUCACCAGUUAAAGUAAAAACCCUUCCCAGUGUUCGAUCCUAGAGCCACUAUGCUAUAGUAGCUUUGCUACUUUAGUGUAAGGACCUUAGGUAUAAAUUUUGUUGAUACCCUUACAUGCCAAGCUACCAAGAGUCGGGUUAUCAUUAACCUAACCAUUGGCCUGUGUAAAUUGAUUUCACAUGCACAAUGUUGUAGUAGAAGUCCAUAUUUUGAAUUUUAUUUUUGUAAAGGUAAGGAAAAUGAAGCAUUGUGUAAUUAUAAAAAUAACUUCAUUGGAAUUCACAAGGUUCACCCAAAAUGGAGCUACAUCUGUAUUCUAUCCUACAGUAGACUAUAUAGAUUGUACAAUAGUAAAUUGCAAAUACAAUUAAUAAGUCUUGUGCUUCCUUACUAAUAAUCCUUUGACAUGAACAUUGCAGCACUAAGGUCCUCUUGGGAAGACACCUUGCACCCAUGAGAGCACUAAGAGGAAGCAAGGCAGAGUCAUGGGUGCAAUGUCAUGACUUGUUGUUGCACCAAGAGAGGCUUGGUGAUGCCAUGGUGUUGCAGUAGCAAGAAUGUUGCCUUGGCAGGGACACGAUCUAGGGAUAGAUGCCAAGAAAGGCUUAGCACUCACAUGAGUUGCACAAAGAUGAAUGUAAUAGAGCAUCAGAGAGACGUCUUGGCAAGUAAAUGAAUGGAUCCAAGAGACAACAACAUGAGGAGUUUCAAAUGGAUAAGGAAUGACUCAAAGACAUUUGAAAGCUACAAGUUGGAUUCUAAUUACGAUUGCAAUUUGAGUUUGAGUAGGAGUUUAGAUUUUGAUUGUAAUUGUAGUAUGAGUUGGACUAGGAUUGCUUAUCCUUAGUCAAUAUAGGAGCGGUUCGUGUCACCCUAUGAAAAGAGUUUGAGUAGGGACUAGGAUUGCUUACUCCUAGUCAAAUAUGGAGUAGGUGGUGCCACACCUAUAAAAAAAAGGGACAACAUGAGAGAGAGAGAGAGAGAGAAAGAGAGAGUGAAUUCACUAAAGAUAUUGUGGGAGUUUUGCUUUGUUACGUCUUGUAUUAUUACUUAGAAUAGGAAUAAAAUACAAGUUGGGGCUAGAGCCCCAUAAUUAAUCUCGUGUGCCUUUGUGGUUAUUCUUUAUUUGUCAUCUCGUGUGGAUUGGAUUAGGUUGACUUAGAGGGCUUCUAAGCACCACCUUUGUGGGUUAUUAUUUAUUUUCCAUCUCUUGUGGAUUAGAUUAGGUUGACUUAGAGGGCUUCUGAGCACCACCUUUGUGGGUUAUUAUUUAUUUUCCAUCUAUUGUGGAUUAGAUUAGGUUGACUUAGAGGGCUUUUAAGCACCACAUUUGUGGGUUAUUCUUUAUUUUCCAUAUCGUGUGGGUUGGAUUAGGUUGACAAGGAGAAAAAUUAUGUGGGAAAUUUGUGUUGGGACACUUACCAUAACCAAGUAAAAUCUACCAAGUCCUUUGUAAUAUCUUCAACAAAUAUUUUAGACUAGUUCUUUCAGUUAGUGUAAAGGAGGAAGAAGUGGUAUUGAUUCUAGAAAUAGGGUGUGUGUAUUUGAACUACAAUCCUUAUGAUCCUUAGGUCUCUAAACCUUCGUGAUGGGCUCCCUGACAUUUCAUAGGUUGUGCUACACAUGCGUUUGAAAUUUAGAGUGCGUUUGACAGUGAUUCCGGGAAGUGUUUUUGGCCUUUCUUACACUUGAAAAUUUUUAUUUUUCAAGUAUUAGAAAUGCUACAAACACUUUUGAAAAUUACUGUCAAACACACUCUUAGGAGCGCACAUAUAUAGUAGAAAACUAGAAAUUGUGGUUUUUUUAGGAUUUACUGUAAUGUCAUUAGGAGGGUAGUAAGUUGAAAUUGAGUAUGAACAAAUAUUUCUUUCUUUGGGAUGUUCUUCUAGUAGGUGCUGAUGAAACUGUUCUUUCUACUGCCAAUGUCACAUAUCAGCCAGAAAUUGAAAAUUUCAGUCAAGGUGUCCUCUGUUUUAGUGGUGAGGAAAGCUAGAAAUUUUAAGGUGAAGUUUUGUUAAAAACCUUAAGUAGCUGGGAUAUCAGGCCUGUUUUGCUUGAAAAAAAAAGUUGCAAGAUAACUCAUAUGCCAAACAGGUUCUGAUAUUGUGAAUCUAUCGGCAGACAUCAGUAAUCUCAUCUUCUGAGAUGGAUGUUGGGGGUGCAUGUGGUGGUGGAGGGGCAAGGUUUCAUUUGGUUUAUUUUGUUGAUGGAUAUUGUCUAGCCACCUGCGCCAAGUUUGAGGGGUGGUGGGUUGUGAUGACCCUACAAUUACUAUUAAUUUCUUCAUCUUUUACCGAUUAAAGUGUCCGAACAGUCGAAGUUACCCUUAUGCAUGUCAACUUGAUCACUUACCUCUUCAAUGGAGUUUAUGCUGGUUCAUUUAGGAACUGAUUUUUAUUGUUAUGUAUUAUAUGCUGAUGUUUAGGUCUCUCCAUCAUCACUAUAUACAAAAAUUCUAGGUUGAUACUAUAGGUUGAGAUUUAUUUUUUAAAUAAAAAAUAAUAAAAAUAAAAAUUAUGGUGAUGUUUAGUUGUUUUAUGGAAAAUUUUAACAAGUAAAAGUUAUUUUUGGGCAAGUUUUCAAACAAAAAGAAAAGUAAAAGUUGUUUUGACAAAAACAUAUAGAAAAAAAAAUCAUAGAAAAUAAAUAAUUUCCCCAUAUUCUAACUUUUUUGAAUUUUUCUCAAUGGGCAAAGGAAUAUCAAAUCAAGUUUGAGUAGGAUUUCUUAAUUUUUAAAAUAACUUACAAUUAAAAAAUUUUGGUGUUUUCAUUUUUGGACAAUUUUUUAUUAAGCAAAUGGACUCUGAGUCAUGCAAGAGAUAUGGUUCAUUAACCGGUCGAACAAUUUUUUUAAAUUAAUUUAAAAGUCAAAUACAUAAUCAAUUUCACAAAAUUUAUAAACAAAAAUAGGUUUAGAGAAGAUCUACACAUAAUUUUACUUUUCUAAUUUUAUUUUAUUUUAUUUUUUGUUGGAAAAUAGUCUUCAAAUCAUGUAAGAUUUAAUAGGUUAAAUUUGUUAACAAUAAAUUUUAAAUUAUAAAAUAUAAUCUGGAACUCAAAAAUCAAUUCAAGUAAUGCUAAAAAAAAAUCAAAUUUGGUAUAGAAUGACUUUGUAAAUUUUUUUACAAAACAAAUGAAUUUUAAAUCAAGUGAGAUUUAAUGCAUUAGAUUUUUAUCAAAUAUAGUAAUUUUAAAAAUAAAUUUGGAACUCAACAAUAGACACAAUAAAUACCAAAAAAUAAUGAACCAAAAUUGGUUUGGAAUAACUCCACAACCUUUUUUUUUUUUUUUUGGUGCACACGAAUUUUCUUACUAGGUAUAUUGCUUUCAAAUUGAGAAAGAUUUACCAUUUAGAUUUUUUUUUAAUGAGUUUAAUGGUAUUUUAAAAUAAUUCAAAAUUUAAAAAAUUGACUAAUUAAUAUUAUAAAUUGAUAAACCAAGACUAUUUCAAAAUGCAUUGGGGGCUAAGGGGGUUGAAAAUAGGGACAAUGGGAUGGGUUUGGGACAUGACACUCAUAUCUCAUUUCCAUUCCAAUUACACAGUUAUCUCCCAUCCUUAUCCCAAACUUGUGUUGGAGCAAGUUGAUUUGUUCCCAUCUUUGUUGACGAAAUGACUAAUAACCUCAUCCCCUCCUUAUCUUAGAUGUACAUUUUGUCAAAUUUGAUCAGGUAUGAUUGAUCCAAGCCCUAACCCUAAUUGGUAAUGAGUGAAUACUACACCUAAUUGCAUUCUUCUUUCAUUGCAAAAUAAUGAGAUUAUAAUAAUCUAGCAAAUAAGAAAAAAUAGUAUGGAAGUUCAAAUUAACACCAUAACUAUCAAUAAUUUUAAGCUUAUAGAUGACUUAAAUGAUUAAAAACUAAUGCAAAAUCCUAAAAAAAAUAAAAAUCAUAUAAAGAAUUCACAAGAGAACAGAAUGAACAAAAACCAAAUAUGAACAUGGGUCAACAUUAGUUAUGGAUUUGGAUUCCUUUCAAGGCCAAUCUUUGAACCAAGACUUCAUCAAAUCAACUACUUCAAAGGCUUUUGUGUUCUUCUUGGGUUGUGCUCUCAAACAAAGACUUCGAGGUGAUGUUCUAGAUGAUUGAAUUACACAUAUUUAGGGUGGAGAGAUUGGAGAAGCUUGAAGAUGCCAACGAUGGGUACAAUUGAGUGGUCAAUAAGAACAAUGUAGCCUAUGACUAGUUUGAUGUCAUGGUACAAGAGUUUUAGGCAUUGAGGUUAAAGCAAGAGCAACAUGGAAUUGAUUUCGGAGUCUUUCAGUUAGUGUAAAGGAGGAAGAAGUGGUGUUGAUUCUAGAAAUAGGGUUUUAAGUGGUGCGUGAUUACUACUCAAAAAGUGCUAUUUGAUAGCCUUUAAUUAAUCCUUUUUAACACUUUUGAGUAGUAGUUUAGGCCUUUUAACUCAAUUGGCAUGUUAAGGAUCCUUUAAAGCAAUUUUGAUCACUUUGUGCAAGUUUUGGUGUUUUUGUUAGUAUUUUGAUCACCAAAGCAAGUCAAGAAUGAGGAGAACUAUGAGGAAUCAUGGGCAAAGCUUAGAAUUCAAUUGCCAAGAGUGAAUCCGGAUUGCAAGGAGAAAAAGCAAAGAGAAUCUGUCAUGAAGCCUAUUCUUGAUGACAGUCGUAGCAGCCACUUUUGGAGCACUUUCUGAAGUCCAAAUGAUGCAAGCUAUAUACCAUUUCAAAGAUCAGGAAGUCAACAAUCCAAUGCUUCAAACGGUGCGCGAUUCGGAGUUGAAACGAAGAAGUUGCAGCCAUUACAAGCCAGUCACUCUAAAGUGUUGCGGAAUCAGCCUUUUGUUGCGAGAAUUUCGCAGCACUUUUGUACAGUAAGGUGUUUCUCCUUCUGACGAUGCACGAACCAUGCCGCGAGAGGGAAGCUAGGAACUUCAAGAUGGAAGCCAACUUUGCAGCCUGGUGAAGAUAGCUUGGUCUUGCGAAAUAAUUUCGCAGCCCUCUUGGGUGUCUGCGAAAUUUCGCAGGCACCACUUUUUUCCUGCGAAAUGGCUCCGGAAGCCUCCCGAAGCUUGCUACCGACAUUGGGAGAUAUUUUCCAUUAGAUUUUUGUUGUCUAAAUUCCAAAAUACUCCUUGUAAACCACCAAUUACAUGAUUCCUUAGUUUUUAAGUUAGUAAAAAGACCAAAUAUCUAUGUAAUAAUUAGUUUUAUAUUAGUUUGCUAUAAAUACCUCUCGGGAGCAUGUUCUCAGAGAGGAGUUCCUUCUGUAACCAUUUUGGUAAGCAAGUAAAGUCUUUUCUUUCUACUGCCUUACCUUCUCACUUUGUAUUUUCAUUUUAUUUCUAAGUUAUGAAUUCUCUGAGGAGCUUUCCCCAGAGAAUGAGUAACUAAACCUCCAAUUCCUUGGAGCUAAGGUUGCCGGGGAAGGUUCCAAGUGCAAGAAUGCAAAGCUCUGUGGUUUUAGCUAGUAAUGAAGAGGAAGUGAAAUCCUUUAGUGAUUUCAAUGUUUUUAGUUAACUUAAAACACCUUGGAGUCACCUGGGCCAACACUUGGUAAGGCAAGUGAUUUCCAACCGUGGAAAUGCACUAGUUUACCCCUUGCGAGCCUCUGGUAGGUGACUUCAAGGUAGGAUUUUCUGGAAUUACCAACACUUGGUAAGCUUUUGGACUCCUAGGAGACAUCCAUUAGUUAUCUCUUGCGAGUUUGUGAAGGGGAAUCCAAGGUUAAAGAUCACCUUGAAUGGUAAGUGCUCGUGAGAGGCAUGAACCAUUGCAAGUUGUAUCAGUGAGAGAAUUAAAGUGAAAUCUAAUUGAAGGAGUCUCUGUACAUCACCGGUUAGAGAAUUGACUAUAAGUUGAAUCUCUAAUGCGAGGAAAUGAACCAUCUGACCGGAGCUAUGUCUUUUGCAUGAGGAACCACCCCAGUGAACCUAAAUCUCCAAGGAAUGCUUUUCUUCCUAAAUUAUUCCAAACUUCUGUUAAGUUAGUUAGUUUAAGUCUAAACCUUUACCAAUCAAACUUUGUGUUUUAUUUCUUAAGCUAACCGUGAAAUGAAACAAAACCAAUUCACUUGGAAUUGGUAUCCUUGAUUGCUUGCAAAUCAUUCCCAGUGAACGAUCCUUAGAGCCACUAUACUAUAGUAGCUUUGUAUUUGCUACCCUAGUGUAUGGUGUUAUAGGUAUAAAUUUUGUUGAUCACUUCCUCAAUCAAGGAACACCAGCUGAACACAAAUCAGCUGAGACACCAAUUGGGCAUGAGUCAAAUGGCGCCGUUGCCGGGGAAUGAGUGUCAAGAUCAUUGUGAUACCAUUUUUGAGCACUUGUGAUUUUCAUCACAAGUUGGUAAAGUUUCUUUCACUUUACUAAUUUUCAUUCUCUCUUUGUUUAUUUACAAUCUAAGUUUAUCUUUUUAAAAUUUAGUCUAGUUUAAUUUUGCUAUUGUAGCCUUGUUUCUCUUGUUGUCCUCUGUUCUUGUUGUCCUCUGUUUUCAUUUUAGUUGCAGCUGAAUACUAGUUGUGUAUGCCAAAGUGGAUACGAGACAUUGGAGGUAGGCUUAUUAAGUGUGAUACACCUCAGAGAGGAGAAUUGGAAGUAAUCUUGAAUAUCAUGGAGGCUGCACCUGAAGAUCAGCAUAGUCACCAAGGUCGUCAAGACAAUCUCAAUGAAUUCAGAUCAAUGAGGGACCGUAUGCAUCCACCUCGUAUGAGUGCACCAUCAUGUAUAGUGCCCCCUACAGAGCAACUAGUGAUCAGACCAUAUCUUGUUCCACUUCUACCAACUUUCCAUGGGAUGGAAAGUGAGAAUCCGUAUGCACACAUCAAGGAAUUUGAAGAUGUUUGUAAUACAUUCCAAGAGGGAGGAGCUUCAAUUGAUUUGAUGAGGCUUAAGUUAUUUCCUUUUAAUUUAAAGGAUAAGGCCAAAAUUUGGCUUAAUUCUUUAAGGCCAAGGAGUAUCCGCUCUUGGACUGAUUUACAAGCUGAAUUCCUCAAGAAAUUUUUUCCUACUCAUAGAACAAAUGGCUUGAAAAGGCAAAUUUCAAACUUCUCAGCUAAAGAGAAUGAGAAAUUCUAUGAGUGUUGGGAAAGAUACAUGGAAGCUAUAAAUGCUUGUCCUCACCAUGGCUUUGAUACUUGGCUACUGGUGAGUUAUUUUUAUGAUGGUAUGUCCUCCUCAAUGAAGCAACUCCUCGAGAAAAUGUGUGGAGAAGAUUUCAUGAGCAAAAAUCCAGAGGAAGCUAUGGAUUUCUUGAGCUAUGUAGCUGAUGUUUCAAGGGGAUGGGAUGAACCAACUAAAGGAGAAGUGGGAAAGAUGAAGUCUCAGUUGAAUGCUUACAAUGCAAAGGCUGGGAUGUAUACUUUAAAAGAGGAUGAUGACAUGAAAGCAAAGUUGGCAGCUAUGACAAGAAGAUUGGAGGAGCUGGAGCUGAAAAGAAUGCAUGAAGUGCAAGCUGUUGCUGAAGCACCAGUGCAAGUGAAGUUGUGUCCCAAUUGUCAAUCGUUUGAACAUUUGGUAGAGGAAUGCCCUGCAAUUUCAGCUGAAAGGGAAAUGUAUAGAGAUCAAGCAAAUGUUGUUGGACAAUUCAGGCCCAAUAACAAUGCUCCUUAUGGAAAUACCUACAAUUCAAGUUGGAGGAAUCAUCCAAAUUUUUCAUGGAAGGCCAGAGCAACUCAAUACCAACAGCCGGAUCCACCAUCUCAACAAUCUUCAAGUAUUGAACAAAUAAUAGCUAAUCUCAGCAAGGUAGUGGGAGAUUUUGUGGGAAAGCAAGAAGCCACCAAUGCUCGAGUGGAUCAAAGAAUGGACAGAGUGGAUCAAAGAAUGGACAGAAUGGAGAGUAUGUUGAACAAAAGAAUGGAUGGAAUGCAAAAUGAUAUGAAUCAAAAAUUUGAUAACAUCCAAUAUUCAAUUUCAAGGCUUACAAAUUUGAAUACACUGCAAGAAAAGGGAAGAUUUCCUUCUCAACCUAACCAAAAUCCCAAAGGUGUCCAUGAAGUGGAAAGCCAUGAGGGAGAAUCAUCACAGGUGAAAGAUGUGAAAGCUUUGAUCACUCUAAGGAGUGGUAAGAAAAUUGAGCAGCCAACACCCAAGCCACAUGUUGAGAAAGAAGAAGAGAUGAAGAAAGGGAAGGAAAUGGAAGAUAAAGGCAGUGAGAUCAGUGAAGAAAAGAAGGACUCUGAUGCAACAAUGAAAGUAAUUCCAGAGAAGGAGCUUCUGAAGGAAGAAAUGCUGAAGAAAUCAACUUUUCCACCUUUUCCUCAAGCAUUACAGGGGAAAAAGGGGGUUAGAAAUGCAGCUGAAAUCCUAGAAGUAUUGAGGCAAGUGAAAGUUAAUAUUCCACUGCUGGAUAUGAUCAAACAAGUUCCAACGUAUGCAAAAUUCCUAAAGGACUUGUGUACUAUCAAAAGAGGGUUGACUGUAAACAAGAAAGCCUUCUUGACUGAGCAAGUAAGUGCAAUCUUACAGUGUAAGUCUCCUUUGAAGUACAAAGACCCUGGAAGUCCUACCAUUUCAGUCAUGAUUGGAGGAAAGGUAGUGGAGAAAGCCUUGCUAGACUUGGGAGCAAGUGUGAAUUUGCUUCCAUAUUCUGUCUACAAGCAACUGGGACUUGGAGAGUUGAAGCCAACAGCAAUCACUUUGUCUCUGGCAGAUAGAUCAGUGAAAAUUCCAAGAGGGGUAAUUGAGGAUGUAUUGGUUCAAGUAGAUAAUUUCUACUAUCCUGUAGAUUUUGUUGUUCUUGAUACAGAUCCUACUGUAAAGGAAGCUAAUUUAGUUCCUAUCAUCCUUGGAAGGCCAUUUCUUGCAACUUCAAAUGCAAUCAUCAACUGUAGAAAUGGGCUUAUGCAACUCACUUUUGGUAACAUGACACUGGAUCUAAAUAUUUUCUAUAUGUCUAAAAAGCAAAUCACUCCAGAAGAAGAAGAGGGUCCAGAAGAGCUAUGUAUUAUUGAUACUUUGGUGGAGGAGCACUGCAAUCAACAUAUGCAAGAUAAGUUGAAUGAAAGUUUUGUGGAUAUUGAGGAAGGUUUUUCUGAAUCUCCUAAUGGGCUUGCUACUCUACAAAGUUGGAGAAAGAUAGAAGGAAUUCUACCUUUGUUCAAUGAAGAAGAGGAGGCAGCUGUUGAAAAAGAAAUUCCAAAACUCAAUCUGAAGCCUUUACCUAUGGAGCUGAAAUAUACAUAUCUUGAAGAAAAUAAUCAAUGUCCUGUCGUAAUAUCUUCAUCUCAAACCAAGUCUCAAGUGAAGGAUGCAAGCUUCAAAUGGGAUCCGGGCAAACUGAAUCAGGAAGGGCAAAAAGUUUUGAUGUAUGACACAAGACUCCAUAUCUUUCCUGGGAAGCUCAAGUCAAGGUGGAUUGGUCCAUUUGUUAUUCACCGAGUAUAUUCCAAUGGAGUGGUGGACUUAUUGAAUUCCAAUGGCAAGGACAGCUUUAGAGUCAAUGGAUAUCGUCUUAAGCCGUUCAUGGAGUCAUUCAAAUCAGAAAAGGAGGCAAUCAACCUCCUUGAACCUCAAAAAGCCUAAGUGAAAUGGGUUUGCUGGACGUGGUUUUACCACAGUCCAAAAAUUUUUGUAAAUUUUGUAAAUUUUCAAGUUGUUUCCAUGCUUUUAAUCUUAGUUUUUGAUUUUAAAUCAUGUUUUUAGGUGUGUUUUAAUCGUUUUAUAUGAUCCCAGGCGGAAGAAAUUUCAAGGGGAUUGAAAAGAAAAAAAUCGGGUCGAAAUUGGAGCCGAAACAGAGCAAAAACAGGGGAAAAACAGAGCUCUGCGAAAUUUCGCAGGGUGAAGGAAACUUCUGCGAAAUUGGCAUUUUGCUGCCAAACCAUUCCGCAGCACUGUAGAAGCCUCUGCGAGUGUAUUUCGCAAUUGCGAAAGUGGAUUUGGCACACGAGUGCCACUUCGCAGCACAGUGACAUCAAUUUCGCAGCUGCGAAACUCACUGCGAAGUUGCUGCGAAAAUGGCAAGUUGCUGCGAAAUUGGCGUUUUGUUGCGAAACGUAAUCUGACCCCUGGGCUUCCGUUUUUCCUAUUUAUACCUGUCAAAAGUGCUGCGAAAAAGGUUUCAAAAAUUAGAGCACCAUUCUCGCAGCCCUUUCAUCUUCUUCGCCAAGCCACGCCGUCCGUUUCUCCGGUCGUCUUCUCCGUUUAGCAGCGCCGGCCAAAGAUCGAUAGCCCAAAAAUGGCACGAACGCGAGGGGCAAAGUCUUCAUCCCCUUCGAACCGCAAAAGGAGUCUGCGAAAGGAGCCAAGUUCAGGCUCUGUUCCAGAACCUGCUCCAAAGCCUUCGCCGUCGAGACCACAACCUUCUCCAGUGAAGCCGGCGCCACCAAAGCCGCCGGCAAGGCGAUAUUUAACCAGGUCAGGUGGUCAGCCAUUGAAGAAGAAAGCCAGAGUUGAGAGCUCUGAACCAAUCGAUUUGACUGAGCAAUCCCCUGAGAAAUCACCAAAUCCUUCACCGGUACAAAUUCCAGUGCCAUCACCGGUUCCCUCGCCAAUUCCCUCACCAGAAGCAACUCCAAUUCCAUCGCCGGUACCAUCUCCGGCACCCCAAGAAAAAGCUCAGGAGCCUCAAGCGCCAAUUCCAGAGCCCCAAAUUGCAGCUGAAGCACCUCUGGAAGAAGUGAUCCGAAGGCCAAUGCUGCCUCAGCCCCCAAUCGAAGGAAACCUGGAUUGCCGAACUCGGGCAUUCCAUUCUGAGCUUUGCUUCGAUUUAACAGCAUUCAGAGUGAGGCCAGAGCUUGCCCAAUCCUUCCAACUGCUGAGGAGAUAUCAUAUGGAGCAUCUGCUAGCUCCAAGGGAUUUUUUCUAUCCCCGGGUAGUCACGGAUUUCUACCAAACCAUGACAACCAAAGAAGUAAGAAAUCCAACUCUGAUUCAUUUCAUAAUUGAUGGAAGGCAUGGUAUUUUGGGAGCAAGACAUAUUGCUGAAGCCCUGCAAAUUCCUUUUGAGCCAACUCAAUUCGACAAUUUUAAAGCUUGGACAAAUCCUACUGAGUUAGAGAUGGUUAGCACACUAACCAGAGGAGCUGCAAAUCGAUCGCAUUUGUUGAGGGGGGAGCUACCUCCAGUUAUGUUUUUGAUUGAUGCCUUUUUGAGGCAUAAUAUCUAUCCCCUGCAGCAUUGGACCCAAAGAAGGGGAAUUCUCCUAGAAGCCUUGUACAAAAUGUCUGAAGGAUUCUUCUUUGGGCCUCAUCAUCUGAUCAUGGCAGCCCUUCUAUACUUUGAGGAGAAGGUUCACAAGAAGAAGCUUCAAAGAGCAGAUUGCAUUCCACUCCUCUUCCCAAGGCUGCUAUGCCAAGUUUUGGAGCAUCUCGGAUACCCCUCUGAGCCUCAGCAGGAAAGAAAGAGAAUAUGCCGUGAGCCUUUUACCCUUGAUAAAUGGAAUAAUAUGACGGCCUACAAAAUUGAUCAGCCUGGGCAGCCUCAGCCAGCAGCAAGGAGAGUCUCCCCAAGACAUAUACCUGAAGGUAUAACACUUGCUACUCCUGCCAUCCCUCGAGCUCCACCAGCUGCACCUGCUCCAUCACAGCCAUCCACAUCAGCUGAGCCGAGGAUGGCCAUCCCUAUAUCCGAAUAUCGAGAGCUGUGCCGUGCAUUGGAGACUCUUACAGCUUCUCAGAGCAAUCUUGCUCAGGAGUUGGCAGCCAUUAAAGCAUGCCAGGAGCAGAUGUUAGCCUCUCAGACUCAACAAGCUGCCAUCCUAAGGCAGCUUCAAGUCCAUUUCGAUCUGCCACAAGCUGUAGAGCCCUCUAUUCCUACUCCACCAGAGCCACACUCUCAGCCUUCAGAGUCUCAUCCUCCAGAACCCGAAGCACCAGCUGAUCCACCUACUGAGGAGGCAGAUCCUUCUGCCUAGCACCAUCACCCCCCUCAUCAGACAUUAUAUAUAUAUUUGCUGUUUAUGUUUUUAUGCAUGUUUGUUUUGUUUUAGUUGAAAAGAAAUCCCAGUAUUUUGGUACUAUAUAUGGGAUUCCUUGUGUUACUUGUCUUUAGUAUUGUAAUCACAUGAACUCAAAGUAAUACAAGUUGACUAUUUCUUGUUAAAAGUUAGCAUUAAAGUUUCCUUAUUUCCUUUUCUCACAUAUUCUAUUCUUUUUGAAACAUGUGGUUUUCCCCAAUCAAUAUUCGAAUUUGAUAUCAGCAUGGAGGUACCACUUCCUCCCUUUUAUUACAGUCACUCAAAUCACAUUGAGGACAAUGCUCAGUUCGGUUGGGGGGUAUGAGGAAGGAAGUAUUCUAAACCUUUUUGGUAUUGCAAUUAUAUUGGUUAAUUAGUUGUAGAUUUUACUUUUUACUAGUGUUACUCUAUUCUCCAUGAAUUUUGAGGAAAAAUUUUCAAAUUAAACCAAGAGAAAUUGAACUGUUGUUUUUCACUUGACUUAGAGUAUGGAUUAUGCUUACUAAAGUGGUUCAAUUGUUGAAACUUCUACUGAAAUUGAAUUGAGUUCUUCCACUUUAAGCUAUCCACACACUGUGCACAUUAGUUUCCGAUUAUAAGAUGAAAAGCUAUUUCCCUCUUGACUUAGUAUAUUUUUGGGACUUGGUAUAUUUGACCUCAUUUGAUAAAAAUUGAAACACCCUGCAAAAGGCCAAUGAGCCUUUGAAAUAAAGAAAGUUGUUUGCUUGCCUUGAAACCCGAGCAAGGUCUGAGGGGUAUAUGGUGAAAAUCUUUAAAGCCUGGUGCCCUAAGCCUUAAUUGGUUGGGAGUCACCGACCUCAAUGCUCGUUACAAGGGUGAAUAGGUAGAGUUAGCAUAUGGUAGAUGCUUGGGUAUUAGAAAUUCAUUCUUAAAAGUCCGGGGAAAAAUCCGAGGAGUUAGUGGUUGAAAGAUCCUUAAAACUUGGUGCCCUAAACCUUAAUUGGUUGGGAGUCAUCGAUGGACCCCCAUUACAUGGACAAGUCAGAAAGAGUACCCCAUAAAGCUACCUUAAAAAAAAAAAAAAAAAAAAAAAAAAAAAAAAAGAUGAAAGUGUGUUCUUUUCUUAUUGAUUUUGGUCAGUUUGCUAAAGUGUUGAAAAGAGAUAGGUUGGGGGGUGAGAUUAGUAGCAUAUUAUUCUCGGAACCUAAGGAACCAAUACACAUAGAUUUUUGUGGAAGAUUGAAGUUUAGUUCUUAGAAAAUGAAAUGAUUUUAAAACUUCAGUUUGCAUAAUGCACUCCCUUGAUUGACAGUGUUUAGCAUAGGUGUUAUGACUCUUGUUGAGAUUUGGGUUUGUAUUUCUUUAAUGAUUCAUGUGAGAAAUAGAUCAUCAUGCCACUUGAGAAUUAUUUUCCUUUUAGCAUGAUGUUGUAAAUUUUAGAUUAGUUUGCUAUUUAUUUUUUAUUUUCUCUCCUAUAUUGCUAAGGGACUAGCAAUAUGUCGGUUGGGGGGAGUGAUUACUACUCAAAAAGUGCUAUUUGAUAGCCUUUAAUUAAUCCUUUUUAACACUUUUGAGUAGUAGUUUAGGCCUUUUAACUCAAUUGGCAUGUUAAGGAUCCUUUAAAGCAAUUUUGAUCACUUUGUGCAAGUUUUGGUGUUUUUGUUAGUAUUUUGAUCACCAAAGCAAGUCAAGAAUGAGGAGAACUAUGAGGAAUCAUGGGCAAAGCUUAGAAUUCAAUUGCCAAGAGUGAAUCCGGAUUGCAAGGAGAAAAAGCAAAGAGAAUCUGUCAUGAAGCCUAUUCUUGAUGACAGUCGUAGCAGCCACUUUUGGAGCACUUUCUGAAGUCCAAAUGAUGCAAGCUAUAUACCAUUUCAAAGCUCAGGAAGUCAACAAUCCAAUGCUUCAAACGGUGCGCGAUUCGGAGUUGAAACGAAGAAGUUGCAGCCAUUACAAGCCAGUCACUCUAAAGUGUUGCGGAAUCAGCCUUUUGUUGCGAGAAUUUCGCAGCACUUUUGUACAGUAAGGUGUUUCUCCUUCUGACGAUGCACGAACCAUGCCGCGAGAGGGAAGCUAGGAACUUCAAGAUGGAAGCCAACUUUGCAGCCUGGUGAAGAUAGCUUGGUCUUGCGAAAUAAUUUCGCAGCCCUCUUGGGUGUCUGCGAAAUUUCGCAGGCACCACUUUUUUCCUGCGAAAUGGCUCCGGAAGCCUCCCGAAGCUUGCUACCGACAUUGGGAGAUAUUUUCCAUUAGAUUUUUGUUGUCUAAAUUCCAAAAUACUCCUUGUAAACCACCAAUUACAUGAUUCCUUAGUUUUUAAGUUAGUAAAAAGACCAAAUAUCUAUGUAAUAAUUAGUUUUAUAUUAGUUUGCUAUAAAUACCUCUCGGGAGCAUGUUCUCAGAGAGGAGUUCCUUCUGUAACCAUUUUGGUAAGCAAGUAAAGUCUUUUCUUUCUACUGCCUUACCUUCUCACUUUGUAUUUUCAUUUUAUUUCUAAGUUAUGAAUUCUCUGAGGAGCUUUCCCCAGAGAAUGAGUAACUAAACCUCCAAUUCCUUGGAGCUAAGGUUGCCGGGGAAGGUUCCAAGUGCAAGAAUGCAAAGCUCUGUGGUUUUAGCUAGUAAUGAAGAGGAAGUGAAAUCCUUUAGUGAUUUCAAUGUUUUUAGUUAACUUAAAACACCUUGGAGUCACCUGGGCCAACACUUGGUAAGGCAAGUGAUUUCCAACCGUGGAAAUGCACUAGUUUACCCCUUGCGAGCCUCUGGUAGGUGACUUCAAGGUAGGAUUUUCUGGAAUUACCAACACUUGGUAAGCUUUUGGACUCCUAGGAGACAUCCAUUAGUUAUCUCUUGCGAGUUUGUGAAGGGGAAUCCAAGGUUAAAGAUCACCUUGAAUGGUAAGUGCUCGUGAGAGGCAUGAACCAUUGCAAGUUGUAUCAGUGAGAGAAUUAAAGUGAAAUCUAAUUGAAGGAGUCUCUGUACAUCACCGGUUAGAGAAUUGACUAUAAGUUGAAUCUCUAAUGCGAGGAAAUGAACCAUCUGACCGGAGCUAUGUCUUUUGCAUGAGGAACCACCCCAGUGAACCUAAAUCUCCAAGGAAUGCUUUUCUUCCUAAAUUAUUCCAAACUUCUGUUAAGUUAGUUAGUUUAAGUCUAAACCUUUACCAAUCAAACUUUGUGUUUUAUUCCUUAAGCUAACCGUGAAAUGAAACAAAACCAAUUCACUUGGAAUUGGUAUCCUUGAUUGCUUGCAAAUCAUUCCCAGUGAACGAUCCUUAGAGCCACUAUACUAUAGUAGCUUUGUAUUUGCUACCCUAGUGUAUGGUGUUAUAGGUAUAAAUUUUGUUGAUCACUUCCUCAAUCAAGGAACACCAGCUGAACACAAAUCAGCUGAGACACCAAUUGGGCAUGAGUCAGUGCGUUAGAGGAUCAAGAAGAAGAAAAAGAAGGAACUGUUGGAAUUAGUAUGAGUGUGAAGAGAAAAGUAUAUAAAUAAGGGGAAGUAAAAGCAAAGUUCAAAAAGCUAUAUUUUUUUAUUGUUGGUGUAUGGUUGCAUGAUUAUCCCUAUAAAUAAUAGGAGUUUUUUGGUAUUCUACUAGUAGUUGAAGCAUAAUUUCAUAAAUUAAUAUUUAGAGCGGGGUGGGGUGAGUUGUGACAAAAUUCAUACCCGUCCCAAACCUUGGUUCAGAUUUUUAAAAUAUUCUCAAACUUAUCAUAUACCCAACUUUUAUAUUUCAUACUUGUCCUAAUAGAGGCACGUUAGGCCGGGUUACUUGAGUAACCUACAUAAUUGUCAUCCCUAGUUGAAAUACACUUUUUGGCAGUGGCCACCAACUGAGCUAGAAGCUUGAUUGAUUGACCUACAAGAUUAGUUCUCAUCAUUUUAAAAAAAGUUCUGGCUUUGGUUGUGAGUGCAAUUGAAUCUAAACUGGCAUUUGCUUAAUGCAUCUACUUCAAUCCUAAACUUCUUACUUCUUAAGCCUCAAUUGUUGUUAGGAUUUUGGAAAACCCAUUUCCUUAAAUUGUAAAUUUAAGAUAAAAUAAAAUAAAAGUGAGACAUUUCUUGAUUGAAUAUUGUUAAAGGUCCCUUGGCAUUAAGACUUGGUUGAAGCCUUGGAAGAUUAGUGGAACUCUCAACAUGUGUUUGAAUCUUGAGGAGAGUGGAUGUAAGCCAAAAUUUUGUCAAACCAUUAUACAAAUUGAGUUUGAAUCCUCAUUUCUUGAUUUCUUAUUUAUUUGCUUUUUCUUAUUAUUACUUGAAUUGUCAUUUGCAUUCAUUAAUGUUAAAAUUGGUUAUAAUUAACCAACACUAAUUCUCUUUCCCCUUCCCUUUCUUGGGUGUAAACCUAGGUUGGAUUAACUAGAUAAAUCUAUUAAGAUGGUAAAAGAAUAAUUAUUCUUAACAUACAUAAGAUCAUCUUCAAUCAAAUGACUCAUUGGCUAAUAUGUUGAAUUUGCUUAUUACUUGCAACUCAAAAUUGUGUUCUAGUUGUGUCAAGUCCCCAGUGUAUGGACAUUAAAUUUGUAGUACGUGAUGAGUAAUUAGAUGGUCCAACUCCAAGAAAGUGAUUGAAAAGUAGUUCAAGAAAGGUGCAAAAGGGAAUUGUUUUGGUAUUUUCGUUUUUAUUCUUGAAGGUGGCAGAGCUAAAAUUUGAGAAAUCAAGCAAAACAUACUGAAAUUACAUUGAAAGAAAGAAGAUGGGAGUUAAUGUCUUGCAGUACAUGAUAAGGACUUCAUGCAUGUAGUGUGACCCAUGUCUUGGACUGAUGCCAACUCACGGUUACACUUAUACCCUUGGUUCUCUCUUUACUACCUUGGCUAACCUAGAUCAGGCUAUGAGAUAGGCUCCUCACCACACCAUUACUUGCCCAUUAAUUAGAGACAUUUUCAAGCAAUGAGGUAACAUGGUGACACCAAGAGGGUCUAUUCCUCGCCCGGAACAAGUCUAGACUUGGUCUCAAAAAAAUGGAGAAAAAUGAGGUGUCGUUAUGUAGAAAUACAACAACCAUGCCUUCCUCAUUACUUAGAUUCAGAAUGUGAAGGUGAAAUUGAGAAACAGAAACUCUUGAAACCAAAAUGAAAAUUGAUACUUUUACGAAGAAUUACAACAACAUUAGAGGAAGACUACAUUCUUCCUCUUUAUUCCUACAUUUCUACACUACUUCUACUCCACUCCAUAUUUCUACAUACAUCUUUAAUCAGUCUUCCCUCCUUUAUAUAGAGCCAUCUUCACACAAAUUUCGCAAGGUAGAAAAGAGGAAUGAAACUUGGAGCAAGGUUCGACUACUGGUUGUAGCUUGUCAAGGCUGGAAGUGAACUUUUCUUGGCUUUCUGGGCAUGGGUAGUAACUUGUGGGUUCCUGUUUGGCAUAAAAAUGGCUAGAACAUGUGGCACUAUCUUGUUGGAUGAUGUGUCAAGCAUGUGGCAGCCAUCUAGUGGCGAUUAUGUCAAUUUUGGGAUGGAGAGUUGGCAUCCAAUUGCAAAGAAAUAUGACGUCUACCAACAUGCAAUGUAAACCUAUGUAGAUCAUAUGAAGAUAGAGAGGAAAAAUAUAGAAAUGGAUAUAUACCUAGAACUAGCUUUUUAUUAAAUGAAACGGAGAGACAACAAUGAAGGAAAAUAAAAUUUUUUGGCUUAUAUCAAAGAGUUCACAUUGUGUUACCCUAGGUUUUCUUAAAACUUACUUUUAUGAUAACAAAAAAGAAAAAACCAUUAUUGUUUAAUCCUUUGUUUUAAACGCAUGUAAGGUGUAAUUAAGUUAGUUCAAUGCAUUAAUUUAAGAAACUUGACCUAUCAAAAGUACAAAAUUAGAUGAAAUCCAUUUCAAUGGUUAAAAUGAUCAAAAUCAAACUUUUUCUAAGUAUUUUUUAAAAGCAUCAAUAGUGAAAGACAAUUUUAUAUUUAGUCGGAGUUUGGACAAAACUGAAAAACACACAAAAUCCAAGCGACCAUCUCUAGCUUGGAUGGUCGCUUGAUCCCACCUAGAGAUGUGCAUGAGUAAAAGGAUUUGAAAAUGGAAAUUGACUAUGUAGUCGAUCAAUUAACUUUGCAACAUCAUAUGCAAUCCUAAUUGCUAGUCAUCUAAUCAAUUAGGUAGUCAAUCAACAGGCCAAAAAUAUGUUUAUAAUGACUAUUUUGUACAAAAACCACCUGUAUAGUUAAAUAUAAUGCAUUUCAUUUAUAAAUCUUCUAAUUCUUGAAUAACGAUCCUAUCAUCCUUUGAAAGUUUUUAUUACACUUUUUUUACUUUUGUUCUAAAACUUACACAUCACCCUUAAUUGUACCAUGAGAACCUAGCUAUUUUUUAUUUUUUUUUUUGUAAUUCAUCAAAGUUAGCUUUUGUAUUCAUUGUUGUAUUAUUUUUAGUAUAACUUAGAAAGCUAGUGUUUUCAAGUGAGUAAAAUUAACUUGUAAAUAUUGUAAAGAUUCAUCGACAUGUAUCUUAAACUAAGUGUACAAGUUAAAACAUUUGCUAGUAGAUUUUCUCAAAAUUUAGAAUAGAGCUUGAGACUAUUGAAAUAGGUGGGGUUGCACCAAACCACAUCACAUCGUUGUUUGCACCUUUUUUCACUCUCUUUUACUUAGUUGCUCUAUAUUUGUUGUCUAGUAAUAUCCUAUAGGCUUGAUGGGUUAGGGAGCAUCCCUUUGUGAAAAAAUUUUAUUCAAUCCUUAGUUGUAUCACGCAUAUAUAAAAUGCCUCAUUGUUUUAAUGGUAUUCAGUCGUGGCAUCACAGAUAUGGGCAUCUAAAUUUUAAAAGUUUGAAACUUUUAUCUAAAGAAAAUAUGGUGCUUUGCCUUUUUGUAAAGCAUGUUGAUGAAAUCCAUGAGAAUUGUGUACUUGGGAAGCAACACCGAGAUGACUUUUUUUUUUUUUUUAUAAUAUUGUUUGUCCAAAUUCCCUACAAAUUAGGCCACCAGAUGUUCAUAAUUCUCCCUUCUUGAAUUUGAAAACUCGGACAAUUGGACAAUGCGACACCUAAGUCCGGUUUCUAAAUGCUAAAGUGAAAGGGUAGGUAUGGACCAUUGAAAUGUGAUCACAACUUUUCUCUGUAGCCAUGUUGUCUCUUUUUUCUUUUGCAUGAUUUUCUUACCUUAACAGAAUCAUAGACUUGUUUAGUCUCUAAAUGGGAUUAAUUUCAUCCAGCUUUAAGCUACUAUAUUAUAUCUAGGUGGAGGACUUUUAAGAGUGCAACCGACAUAGAGCACAUGGAAGUGGGUAUAUGGGACAUGAAAUUUCUUCUUAUAAAGAUUGCAUGAUUUUUAUAUUAGAGUUGUUGAGGCGCUAUGUAUUUAGCUUGUUUUGCAGUUAAAUUAAUUGGAUAAGUAGACAUUGGCGUUUCUAAAUCUACUGUGAAGUGCUUCAUGUACGUGUGAAGUAUUAGAAAUUUCUUUCUUGGCAACUUGUUUUUCUUUGCGGUCUACUGAUAGGUUUGACUAAAAUUAUAUUCCCUGUCAUGCUAAUUAAUUUUCACGUGCAUGCUCAAAAGAAAAGUAUGACCUUAGUGCACCAAAAUCACUUUGAUUAAUUUGUGAUAGGUUUUUGUGCAUCAUGACAUUAGCCUUAUUCAUUUAGAUAAUGUUUAGUUUUUAGAAAGUAUUAAGAAAAGGAAAAUAAAUAUUAAGAAAAAUAUUCUUAUAUUUGAUUGUAUUAUGAAAAAUAUCAUAAAAAAAUCAAAUAUAAUUUAAAUUAAUUAAUAAUUUAUACAUUUUCAAAUUAUUUAAUCUUUAUAUUGAAGAUAUAAUAUAAAUGAAAUGAGUUUUAAGUAUUAUAUAAAAGUGAUUUAUUGAUCUUACAUAUAUAUAUUUCUUUUUUUUUUCCUUCUAUUUUUUCUCUUUAUUUUAUUUUCCUUAUGUUUUCCUCAACAUUUUCCGGAACCAAACAUAGCCUUAGGAAAUCCACAAUUACCUUCAACUGAGUAGAUUCUGUUGUUUUAGCAAUGUUAGGCUGCUAACUUGUGUUGGUACGAACCUAUUAAGCCUAAAGAUGUAAUUAGUUAGGAUAUUCUUUUCCCUCUAGUCUUGUAGCUCCACGUGUACAGUUGGUUAGGACCUCAUUGUAUAUAAUGCUUGCCCUGUUAUUGUAGAAGACAACAAAGAUAAAUAAUAUUAACAUUUUUCCUCUCAUCUCUCUCUGUUUCCCUCUGUUUUCAUCUCCUCUCUCAUCUUGGUAUCAGAGCCUCCAUGGCUUCUUUCAAAGAAACCUCCGAAUCACCUUCUGCUAGCAUUGUUAAUGUGCAAAACCCAUUAUCUCAAUCAAACAACCUUCCUUCACCAGUAGCCACACCCUCUUUUUCUUUCUCGUCUAUGAAUCAACCUCUCACAGUGAAGCUGGAUAAUGGGAACUACCUCAUAUGGAAGAAUUAGCUUCUAAAUGUCAUCAUUGCUAACGGACUCGAUGAUUUCAUUGACGGAUCUCGACCCUGCCCUCCUCGAUUUCUCGAUCUGCAACAACAAACCCUCAAUCCAGAGUACUCAGCUUGGCAGAGAUACAAUCGACUUCUGAUGAGUUGGCUGUACGCAUCCUUGUCCAAAGAUAUAAUGGCUCAGAUUGUUGGGUAUUCAACAGCUAUGGAGAUUUGGAAUGCCCUUAAUCAGAUUUACUCUGCCUCUUCUAUGGCGCGGUUUACUGAGCUUCGCACCAAGCUUCAAACGCUCAAGAAAGAUGGACUCUCAGUUGGUGAAUAUAUUCAAAGGCUCAAAUCCAUUUGCAAUAGUCUUGCAGCAAUAGGAGAACCAGUUUCUGAGAAAGACCAUCUUAUCUAUUUGUUCAAUGGAUUAGAUUGUGAGUAUUAUUCUUUUGUUACCUCCAUUCAAAAUCGAUCUGACCAACCAACUAUUGACAAAAUCCAUAGCCUAUUGCUUAGCUAUGACUUCCGGCUUGAACAACAAAACUCUGUUUCUCUCCAUUCUGCCCAAGUCCAUAUGGCUCAUCUGAACAAGAAACCUUAUAAAUCAACUCCUCAACCUACAUUCAAUCAUAUUCACAUUCAACCUAGAUACUCUUCUCCACCUUUUAAGCCAACCACUAGUCAAUAUCAACCCAACAUUUUGGGCAAACCACAACCACAACCAUGACAGCCUCAACCUCAAUGGAAACCACAUUUUUCAAUCUAAAAUCAAAAGCCUCAGCGCCAAAUUUGUGGUAAAUUUGGACACACUGCUCUUAUUUGCUUCCAUCACACAAAUUUGAACUAUUCACCCCAACCUUCUCCUAAAUCUUUCAAUACUGUUCUCACCACAAAUUCCCAGCUCCCUAAUCCUCCAAAAUUUUCUUACCCUACAAUGGCUCAUCCUGCUGCUACGCAUAACACGGUUCCCGAUACAAAUUGGUACAUGGACUCAGGUGCUACACAUCACUUUACUCUGGACAUCAACGUGCUUGACACUGUGACACCAUUUAGUGGUUCAGAACAGGUGACAGUUGGGAAUGGUAAGCAACUCUGUAUCUCACAUCUUGGUACUGCAAAACUACCAUCUUCGUAUUCUCCUCCUGUUCUACAUCAGGUAUAUCACACUCCAAAAAUUUCAAAUAAUCUUAUUAGUGUUAAAAAAUUGUGUUCUGAUAAUAAAGUUUUUGUUGAAUUUUAUGCCACUCAUUUUCUUGUCAAGGAUCAGGUUUCGAAGAGAGUUCUCCUUUAGGGUCAACUUGAUAAUGGCUUAUACAAAGUUCAGUCGUCAUGCUCUCCUUCUGCUGUUUCCUUUCCUCCUCAAGUUUUCAUAGCCAACAUCAAGUAUCCAAAUCUGUGGCACAAGAGACUAGGCCACCCAGCUUUAUCUGUUGUUAAUCAAAUCUUGGAUUCUUGUAACAUUGCUCGAACACAGAAAAUUUGUUUUAAUUUUUUAAAUUCUUGUCAAUUAGCAAAGAGCCACAGGCUUCCUUUUUCUCUGUCUCCAUCCAUUGCAGAAAAACCUUUUGAGUUAAUUCAUACAGACCUAUGGGGUCUUUCGCUCGUUCGCUCUAUUUCUGGUGCUCUUUAUUUUUUACUUUUCAUUGAUGAUCAUACUCGUUUUACUUGGUUUUAUUUGCUCAAAACAAAAGAUGAAGCAUAUCCUACUUUUCUCAAGUUUCAAGCUCUCAUUGAAAAUCAAUUUAAUACCAAGAUUAAGGCUGUCCAAUCUGAUUGGGGAGGUGAGUUUCGAUCUCUCUCCAUACCGUUUUCAAAUAUGGGCAUUGUCUAUUGUUUAUCGUGUCCAUACACCUCACAACAGAAUGGGCGAGUUGAGCGAAAAAAUCGCCAUGCGAUUGUCCUUUCUUGCUUGCUCUAUGCCCUUAUCUUAUUGGCCUUAUGCCUUUCAAACUGCCACUUACCUUAUUAAUCGUCUCUCUACCCCUGUGCUGCAUCAUCAAUCCUCUUACUUCGCACUCUAUCACAAACUCCCAACUUAUACUCAUCUUAAGGUCUUUGGUUCCUCUUGUUUUCCGUAUUUGCACCCUUAUAAUACCCAUAAACUCCAAUACAGGUCACUAGAGUGUGCUUUUCUUGGUUACAGUUCACACCACAAAGGUUAUCUAUGUCUUGACAUUCAUUCUAGCAGGGUGUAUAUUUCUCGCCAUGUGAUUUUUAAUGAAGAUUCUUUUCCAUUCAAGAAUUUGAAAUCUUCUCUCUCUCAGUCUAUUUCUUCUUCCUCUUCUUUAUAAGUUCCUCUGUUCAUUCUCUUGCCUCCCCUUUCCCCAUCUCCUCUUAUUUCUUCAUCUAUACCUCAUUCUUUUCCCUCUUCUUCUUCUACCUCUAGUACUUGUUCCCCUCUCGUUGCUCCUACCUCUCUUCCUUCCUCUUCACACUCUGUGUCUCCAUCUAUUCCACCUCCUUCUCCACCUUCUCCGAGUGUGGACCUGCUUGCACCUUGUGUGAAUACAAAUUUACAUACUUCUUCUCGCACUCACAAUAUUCAUCCUAUGGUGACUAGAUCUAAGGUUUGUAUCUAUAAACCUAAGUUGUUGUUGAGUGUCUCCAUAGGUUCUCUCACUAAGCCUACUUCCUUUCUUCAAGCUAUUAAAGAUCCUUCAUGGAAGCAAUCCAUGGAAUUCGAGUUUGCUACCCUUCAACACAACAAGACCUGGCAUUUGGUUCCUUCACCUUCCUCAGGCGAAGUAAUCGGUUGUAAAUGGGUCUAUAAGCUAAAGCUUCAGCCUGAUGGCUAAAUUGAGAGAUACAGCCUGCUUAGUAGCUAAGGGUAUCAUCAAAUUGAAGUAUGGACUACUUCGAAACAUUCAGCCUGAUNNNNNNNNNNNNNNNNNNNNNNNNNNNNNNNNNNNNNNNNNNNNNNNNNNNNNNNNNNNNNNNNNNNNNNNNNNNNNNNNNNNNNNNNNNNNNNNNNNNNAGCUUCAGCCUGAUGGCUAAAUUGAGAGAUACAAGGCCUGCUUAGUAGCUAAGGGUUAUCAUCAAAUUGAAGGUAUUGACUACUUCGAAACAUUCAGCCUGAUUGUCAAGCUUUCUACUAUCUGUAUUGUGCUCAGUCUUACUUUUUCCCAGAAUUGGUGUAUUAGACAGCUGGAUGUUCAUAAUGCCUUCUUACAUGGUGACUUAGCUAAAGACGUUUUCAUGGAACAACUGCCUGGAUUUGUUGAUCCUCUCUAUCCUACUCAUGUCUGCAAGUUGGAUAAGUCUCUCUACUGUCUUAAAUAGUCACCUCGGGCUUGGUAUACUAAGCUGAGUACUUCUCGCUACACUUGGGAUUUGUUACUUCUAAGAAUGACUCUUCCUUAUUUAUUUGUCAUUCGUCUCAUGGGUUACUUCUUGUUCUUGUCUAUGUGGAUGAUAUAAUCGUCAUUGGGAGCCACUCUCCUCAGGUUACUCACCUUAUCCAACAGUUGCAUCAUUAGCUUUCUUUAAAGGAUCUUGGUCCUUUACAUUAUUUUCUGGGCUUGGAGGUUCAUCACACCCCUACUGGUAUUCACCUCAGCCAAGCAAAGUAUAUCACUGAUCUCCUUACCCGGGCGGCUAUGUUGGAUGCCAAGCCAUGUCCCACUCCUAUGUCCUCCAACACAUAUCUCUCUUUUCAUGAUGGAGUGGCUCUUGAAAAUGGUUCAGAUUAUCGAAGUUUUGUUGGUGCCCUUUAGUAUUGUACCAUGACACGCCCAGAUAUAGCUUUUGCAAUAAAUAAAGUGUGUCAAUUCAUGCACCAUCCCUCUAAUGUUCACUGGCAGGCUAUAAAACGUAUUCUCCGGUACUUAAAGGGCACAUCUCAUUUUGGUCUCUUCCUACAGCCUUCCUAUGACUUCAACAUCACUUGCUAUACAAAUGCCGACUGGGCUUCCUGUCCUGAUGACAAGUGUAGCACCAGUGGCUACUGCCUCUUUCUUGCCUCUAAUCUGGUUUCUUGGUCAUCUUCCAAACAAAAAGUGGUCUCCCGCUCCAGCGCCGAAUCAGAGUACCGAGGGGUAGCAAAUGGGGCUGCUGAAAUUGCUUGGACUGAAUCUCUUCUUUGUGAACUUUCCAUUACUCCCCCUCCCCUCAUUCUCUGUGACAAUAUCAGUGCCACGUACUUAGCUGCCAAUCCUAUUUUGCAUGCCCGCACCAAACAUGUGGAAAUCGACUAUCACUUUGUCACGGAACGUGUUCUUCAAUGCUCUCUUUUUGUCCAGUUUACACCUUCUGAUGAUCAACUUGCUGAUUGCAUGACCAAGCCUCUCUCCACCCAACGUUUCAUCACUCUACGCUCCAAGCUCACUGUUCUCACUAGACCAAUGAGCUUGAGGGGGGAUGUUAAGCCUAAAGAUGUAAUUAGUUAGGAUAUUCUUUUCCCUCUAGUCUUGUAGCUCCACGUGUACAGUUGGUUAGGACCUCAUUGUAUAUAAUGCCUGCCCUGUUAUUGUAGAAGACAACAGAGAUAAAUAAUAUUAACAUUUUUCCUCUCAUCUCUCUCUCUGUUUCCCUCUGUUUUCAUCUCCUCUCUCAUCUGAACCAAAUGAUCCAUGUUAACCUUGGCUUGGUUUGAUUUGGCUCUAUCUUAGAGAGCUCAAGGAUCACGUCAACUCUGGUUUCUACUAUUCAGGUCCAUUCCCAUAUGAACUGGUUCAAAUUUGAGAAAAUGGUAACAGACCUUUAGUGAUGUUGGUUUGGAGCCAGUUGCCAAACCCGCCCUGAGCUUUACCACUAAUGUCAAGGGAGAAAGCCAUUUGAACAAAAACAAUAGCUUCAAGGGACUGAAUCGUGGAUGAAAUCUGAUCCACAUUUCUUCUCAUUUUGGAAACAAAUGAGAACUUAACUAAGAAGAUUCUACGGCCUCAUAGUGCUUUUCCUGAUCUAAGGUUGGUUCGUUUCCCAAACUGUGAGAUGCACGUGCCAGACUUCAGAACUCUCACGCUCAGGAGUGUAUCCACGUGGUGGACAUAAGAUGGUGGCUUAAGAUCUGGUGUCGGUGGCUUUACUUUACUAGGAGAGUAGUGUGUCUUCAUCUCAUUCACUGCCGGAGGGUGGCGUAAGCAGUGACGCUAAGGUGGGGCACAGUCAAUAUCAUUUGCAUUUGACCAUUAUAGUUUUCUCCCGGCUUUAAAGUAACCUUAUCGUGAUAAAGGAUUACUAGCACUAGUUCAGAUGAUAGUCAUGUUAAAUUCGGACCAUGUUUGUGUCACAUUAUCAGCAACCAUGUGUUUAUGGUUCAUGCUUUCUGCAACUAAAAUUGAUAUAUAACCAGGUGAACUUCAAUCUAAAUUCUGAAAGUACUCAUGUGAUAGAUGGUGCCCGUCUGCAGAGUCCAUCAAUUGAAAAAUGGAGUGAGUGUAUCUAUAAGAGGGAAGGCUUGGAAAAUGUUCAGUUUUCUGGGAAUUCAACAAGGAUCUAAAAUAGAUUGUUUUCUUUGCUGAUUUCAAUGGUUGAAAUUUGAGAAGAUUGUGUCCACAUAACACAACUAUUACUGGUCCUUCUGUUGCAAUUUAUCCUCUAAAGCUCUAGCAUGUCUUCCAAUUCCCACUUCCCUGUUACUCCAGGAAAGCUAUUUCUGUCAUUGUGAAGAAGAAAAGAGAAUGUACAUAUCGAUGCUUUUAAGUGACUGGAGCAUUUAUAUCAGGUGGUCUGCAGCCAUAUAUGCCACUUUGUGAAGAUUGGAACAGUCAAUCACUAGGCUAUAUAUUAGUGUGGCCCAGCCACUUUAAUCAAGGACAAGUCUUCAUACUUAAAGUCAAAUUCUGCCUUUAGUCUCAUUAUAAAUUUCUGUUUAAAUAUUAAGCAAACAUUUGUUUAAUGCGAUUAAGACAGUACUAACUCAAUACCUGUUCUAUUUUUGGAUGCAAAUGCUUGAUGGUUUCAUCAUUGGAUGGGAUAAAGGUGCAUUCAUGAUUAGGAAUACUAGUAGUUAUAUUUUAAUUCUCUUUUUUCUCAAUGAGACUUGUUGGCACAAUUUUGCUGUUGAGAAACCUACCUCUCCAUGGAAAAUAAGUUGUGAUUGAUAGUACUGGAUAUAUUCAAGAAAUCUAAAUAUAGAUAGCACAAAAUAUUAUCGACAUAAAUAGCAUUAACAGCGUACGUAUGUCUCAGUGCUCAUCAGCUAUAAGCAUGGGGCAAACACUUACUAUGAGCAACUUACGUCAAAAUUCCAGAAUAGGACAUAGAAGUGACAGAUAUAGAACAUUGCAUAUGAGUCACAAGAAAGGAAAUUACGGGUGCAUAGCAGCUCUUAUUUUACAUACUACUACUCAUACUGAUCAAAGUCACUCAGUUGGGAUGGGUGGGAGUAGGAGGUUUGUGGGGUGGCUUGUGCGGAGGAGUUGGCAGCUUCUUUCCAGGACCUGGUUGCUUCUCUGCUGGAGUUGAAGGAGGCUUAAUCUUCCGAGGUGGCUUGUAUGAGUCUUCAGCAUUCUCAGCUGGAGGGUGACCAGGGUUGUGACCAUAAUGUGGUGGCUUCUCUCCCUUAGGUGGUUUGCCAACUGGGGUUGGUGGCUUGUAUGAGUCUUCAGCAUUCUCAGCAGGAGGGUGACCAGGGUUGUGACCAUAAUGUGGUGGCUUCUCUCCCUUAGGUGGUUUGCCAACUGGGGUUGGUGGCUUGUGUUCUGGGAGUGGCUUCUCCCCCUUGGGAGGUUUUUCCAAUGGGGUUGGUUUGUGUUCAGGAGGUGGCUUCUCCACUGGAGGCUUGUGUUCAGGAGGUGGCUUCUCCACCGGAGGCUUGUGUUCAGGUGGUGGCUUCUCCACCGGAGGCUUAUGCUCUGGUGGUGGCUUCUCGAAUGGGGGAUGCUUAGGAUAAUCAGCAAGUGAGGGGGCGGUGAGAACCACCAGGCCAAGCAACACCACUAGCAAAUAUGUAGGAGACAUCUUUGGGUUUGGGCUCAGAUGGUGCAAAACUAGGAGAAUUGGCUAGCCUUUUAUAGCGGAUCGUACCCAAUAAUGAAAUGACACGUGUCAUUAUGACCCAUGUGUAAUGGGGUCGAUUUGGGUCCUACAGUGUUGAAAACUUCGACAUCCACUUUUGGCCUUUUGCUUUCUCUACAGCCGCCUUGCUUUUUCCCUCUUUCCUUUUGUUUUCCUCCUGCCCCAUUCUAUCAACUAAACACAAUUAUGUAGUUGUUUAAUUCUUAAAUGAGAUAUUAUCCGUCAAUCGUAUUAUAUUUUAUCAAGAGAGAACGGAGUGCAAUGUGGCUGUAAUUUUAUCGUUUAGUUUUAUCUCUUGGACCACUGCAUUUUUGUUAAGAGGUGCAAUAAUACACGUCUUUAUCUGCCAUUCAAUAUUUACAGUAAAGAGAGGGCACAAAACUCUUCACUUCGCACCAUAAUUAUUUUGUUUUCUGGACACCCCGGGGCCCUUUGGUUGGUUUGGGGGUCAGAAAGUGAACAUCAUAGGGGGUUUUUCCCUUAUGUGCAUUUGUAUCUGAUGGCUUUAACUCGCCUUGUUACUACAAAGAAACUGUCACAGAUAGGAACUUAUUCCAGGCUGAGUAUCUCCUCAUAGACCCUAUAAAAGAAGACAAGUCAUAAUGAACAUCUAACCUUUGUUCAAUUUGAUUCAAUGCCCCCAUUGUGUCCAUCUCACAAAUCUGAAUUAUUAUAUCCAUUGAAUACAUAAAUUAAUGAAGAAAAUAUGAAACCCAAGAUACAUCUCUGCACAACCUCAACCCUGGUUGCUAUGUUUCCCUUCUAUUCACAUGAUUUGAUGCUAAUUGCCAAACUUGCAACAAGCCCUGAGUUUGACACCUAGUAUCGAUGGGCGAAUUUAAAGUCUCCUCCAAACAUAUAUUCCACAGCUUGAAGCUCACAGAAGAUGUUACAGGCAGGGAAAAACCUUCAGAGUUCGCUACCAAAGAUAAUUAUUAAGGAGAUAUCACAAAGAGAAUUCCAAGGGGUCUGAAUCAAAGACAAAUUGGUCGUUCGUGGGGGUUCUUACUUUCUUUUGGGUAUAACUCACUGAGGGCACUGUCUUUGUUAUUUGCAUUUCACAUUUAGAGUUCUGUUCUGGAAACAUAUAAAAGGAGCAUCAUUUUGUUCUUGGGUAACCCAUAGUCGUGAGUGGGUCCAUUUGCAUGCUACUUAGUUGAAAAGUUGGACCAUUUGCUCCGACGCCUACCUCCCGGAUUCCAUGCUCGGAUAAAACAAGAAUAAAAAAAAUAUUUAUAAUUUACAAAUGGGGGAAAGAAAAAAAUGUCAACAACAAACCAGGAAAAAAGAGUAGUAAAAUUCAUGUCACAUGCUAGUGAGAGAAGGGGUUGUUACACUCACUCGAAGUUCUUUCCAAAAUAUCGCAUGGUAUUUUAUUUUAUGUGUCAGCGCAGUUGUGAAUGGAACGUGCAAAAGUCCAAAUUGGCGUUUUUCCUUUUCCCGUGUAGGAUGGCGACCUUUAAUAAAUAUUUAAAACAAAAAACGAAAAAAAGGAGGGAAAAGGGAUCAGAAAAGAUAAAACAAUGUGUACAAGAGCUCAAUUAGUUUGCAAAUUACUGUUUGGAUUUUGAUAGUAUUUUAUUUGUCCAUCUAUAUUUGAUGGAAAAGAGAAUUUAAGAUAUUUCUGAAACAAAAGCAUUAGUGUAAAACUAAAUUAAGGUAUAAUUAAGUUAGUUCAAUGCAUUAAUUUAAGAAACUUGAUCUAUCCAAAGUACAAAAUUAGAUGAAAUCCAUUUCAAUGGUUAAAAUGAUCAAAAUCAAACUUUUUCUAAGUAUUUUUUAAAAGCAUCAAUAUUAAAAGACAAUUUUAUAUUUAGUCGGAGUUUGGACAAAACCAAAAAGCACACAAAAUCCAAGCGACCAUCUCUAGCUUGGAUAGUCACUUGAUCCCACCUAGAGAUGUGCAUGAGUAAAAGGAUUUGAAAAUGGAAAUUGACUAAAUAUUUAGUUGAUCAAUUAAAUUUGCAAUGUCAUAUGCAAUCCUAAUAGCUAGUCAUCUAAUCAAUUAGGUAGUCAAUCAAGUGUUUGUAAUGACUAUUUUGUACAAAAAACCACAUGUAUAGUUAAAUAUAAUGCAUUUCAUUUAUAAAUCUUCUAAUUCUUGAAUAACGAUCCUAUCAUCCUUUGAAAAUUUUUAUUACACCUUUUUUACUUUUGUUCUAAAACUUACAUAUCACCCUUAAUUGUACCAUGAGAACCUAGCUAUUUUUUUUUUUUUUGUAAUUCAUCAAAGUUAGCUUUUGUAUUCAUUGUUGUAUUAUUUUUAGUAUAACUUAGAAAGCUAGUGUUUUCAAGUGAGUAAAAUUAACUUGUAAAUAUUGUAAAGAUUCAUUGAUAUGUAUCUUAAACUAAGUGUACAAAUUAAAACAUUUGCUAGUAGAUUUUCUCAAAAUUUAGAAUAGAGCUUGAGGCUAUUGAAAUAGGUGGGGUUACACCAAACCACAUCACAUCGUUGUUUGCACCUUUUUUCACUCUCUUUUACUUAGUUUCUCUAUAUUUGUUGUCUAGUAAUAUCCUAUAGGCUUGAUGGGUUAGGGAGCAUCCCUUUGUGAAAAAAUUUCAUUCAAUUCUUAGUUGUAUUACGCAUAUAUAAAAUGCCUCAUUGUUUUAAUGGUAUUCAGUCGUGGCAUCACAGAUAUGGGCAUCUAAAUUUUAAAAGUUUGAAACUUUUGUAAAGCAUGUUGAUAAAAUCCAUGAGAGUUGUGUACUUGGGAAGCAACAUCGAGGUGACUUUAUUUUUUUUUCCUUUUAUAAUGCCACACCUAAGUCCGGUUUCUAAAUGCUAAAGUGAAAGGGUAGGUAUGGACCAUUGAAAUGUGAUCACAACUUUUGGCCUUUUCCUUUCUCUGCAGCCAUGUUGUCUCUUUUUUCUUUUGCAUGAUUUUCUUACCAAAACAGAAUCAUAGACUUGUUUAGUCUCUAAGCUACUAUAUUAUAUCUCGGUGGACUUUUAAGAGUGCAACCGACAUAGAGCACAUGCAAGUGGGCAUAUGGGACAUGAAAUUUCUUCUUACAAAGAUUGCAUGAUUUUUAUAUUAGAGUUGUUCACGUGCAAUGUAUUUAGCUUGUUUUGCAGUUAAAUUAAUUGGAUAAGUAAACAUUGGCAUUUCUAAAUCGACUGUGAAGUGCUUCAUGUACGUGUAAAGUAUUAGAAAUUUCUUUCUUGGCAACUUGUUUUUUCCUUGCCAUCUACUGGUAGGUUUGACUAAAAUUAUAUUCCCUGUCAUGCUAAUUAAUUUUCAUGUGCAUGCUCAAAAGAAGAGUAUGACCUUAGUGCACCAAAAUCACUUUGAUUAAUUUGUGAUAGGUUUUUUUGCAUCAUUUAGAUAAUGUUUAGUUCUAAGAAAAAUUUAUAUAAAAAUGGUUUAUUUAUCUUACAUAUAUAUAUAUAUAUAUAUAUUUUUUUUUUUUUCAUUUUUUUUUCUUCUAUUUUAUUUAUUUAUUUUAUUUUCCUUAUGUUUUCCUCACAUUUUCCGGAACUAAACAUAGUCUUACGAAAUCAACAAUUGCCUUCAACUGAGUAGAUUCUGUUGUUUUAGCAAUGUUAGGCUGCUAACUUGUGGUGGUACGAACCAAAUGACCCAUGUUAAUCUUGGCUUGGUUUGAUUUGGCUCUAUCUCAGAGAGCUAAAGGAUCACGUCAACUCUGGUUUCUACUAUUCAGGUCCAUUCCCAGAUGAACUGGUUCAAAUUUGAGAAAAUGGUAACAGACCUUUAGUGAUGUUGGUUUGGAGCCAGUUGCCAAACCCGCCCUGAGCUUUACCACUAAUGUCAAGGGAGAAAGCCAUUUGAACAAAAACAAUAGCUUCAAGAGACUGAAUCGUGGAUGAAAUCUGAUCCACAUUUCUUCUCAUUUUGGGAAAAAAUGAGAACUUAACUACAAAGAUUCUACUGCCUCAUUCAUAGUGCUUUUCCUGAUCCAAGGUUGGUUCGUUUCCCAAAUUGUGAGGUGCACGUGCCACUCUCACGCUCAGGAGUGUAUCCACGUGGUGGACAUCAGAUGGUGGCUUAAUAUCUGGUGUCGGUGGCUUUACUUUACUAGGAGAGUAGUGUGUCUUCAUCUCAUUCACUGCCGGAGGGUGGCGUAAGCAGUGACGCUAAGGUGGGGCACAGUCAAUAUCAUUUGCAUUUGACCAUUAUAGUUUUCUCCCGGCUUGAAAGUAACCUUAUCGUGAUAAAGGAUUACUAGCACUAGUUCAGAUGACCGUCAUGUUAAUUCGGACCAUGUUUGUGUCACAUUAUCAGCAACCAUGUGUUUAUGGUUCAUGCUAUCUGCAACUAAACUUGAUAUAUAACCAGGUGAACUUCAAUCAAAAUUCUGGAAGUACUCUUGUGAUAGAUGGUGCCUGUCUGCAGAGUCCAUCAAUUGAAAAAUGGAGUGAGUGUAUCUAUAAGAGGGAAGGCUUGGCAAAUGUUCAGUUUUCUGGGAAUUCAACAAGGAUCUAAAAUAGAUUGUUUUCUUUGCCGACUUCAAUGGUUGAAAUUUGAGAAGAUUGUGUCCACAUAUCACAACUAUUACUGGUCCUUCUGUUGCAAUUUAUCCUGUAAGGCUCUAACAUGUCUUCCAAUUCCCACUUCCCUGUUACUCCAGGAAAGCUAUUUCUGUCAUUGUGAAGAAGAAAAGAGAAUGUACAUAUCGAUGCUUUUAAGUGACUGGAGCAUUCAUAUCAGGUGGUCUGCAGCCAUAUAUGCCACUUUGUGAAGGUUGGAACAGUCAAUCACUAGGCUAUAUAUUGGUGUGGCCCAGCCACUUCAAUCAAGGACAAGUCUUCAUACUUAAAGUCAAAUUCUGCCUUUAGUCUCAUUAUAAAUUGCUGUUUAAAUAUUAAGCAAACUUUUGUUUAAUGCGAUUAAGACAGUACUAACUCAAUACUUGUUCUAUUUUUGGAUGCAAAUGCUUGAUGGUUUCAUCAUUGGAUGGGAUAAAGGUGCAUUCAUGAUUAUGAAUACUUGUAGUUAUAUUUUCAUUCUCUUUUUUCUCAAUGAGACUUGUUGGCACAAUGUUGCUGUUCAGAAACCUACCUCUCCAUGGAAAAUAAGUUGCGAUUGAUAGUACUGGAUAUGUUCAAGAAAGCUAAAUAUAGAUAGCACAAAAUAUUAUCGAUAUAAAUAGCAUUAACAGCGUACGUAUGUCUCAAUGCUCAUCAGCUAUAAGCAUGGGACAAACACUUACUAUGAGCAACUUACGUCAAAAUUCCAGAAUAGGACAUAGAAGUGACAGAUCUAUAUAUAUAGAACACUGCAUAUGAGUCACAAGAAAGGAAAUUACGGGUGCAUAGCAGCUCUUAUUUUACAUACUACUACUCAUACUGAUCAAAGUCACUCAGUUGGGAUGGGUGGGAGUAGGAGGUUUGUGGGGUGGCUUGUGCGGAGGAGUUGGCAGCUUCUUUCCAGGACCUGGUUGCUUCUCUGCUGGAGUUGAAGGAGGCUUAAUCUUCCGAGGUGGCUUGUAUGAGUCUUCAGCAUUCUCAGCUGGAGGGUGACCAGGGUUGUGACCAUAAUGUGGUGGCUUCUCUCCCUUAGGUGGUUUGCCAACUGGGGUUGGUGGCUUGUAUGAGUCUUCAGCAUUCUCAGCAGGAGGGUGACCAGGGUUGUGACCAUAAUGUGGUGGCUUCUCUCCCUUAGGUGGUUUGCCAACUGGGGUUGGUGGCUUGUGUUCUGGGAGUGGCUUCUCCCCCUUGGGAGGUUUUUCCAAUGGGGUUGGUUUGUGUUCAGGAGGUGGCUUCUCCACUGGAGGCUUGUGUUCAGGAGGUGGCUUCUCCACCGGUGGCUUGUGUUCAGGAGGUGGCUUCUCCACCGGAGGCUUAUGCUCUGGUGGUGGCUUCUCCACCGGAGGCUUAUGCUCUGGUGGUGGCUUCUUGAAUGGGGGAUGCUGAGGGUAAUCAGCAAGUGAGGGGGCGGUGAGAACCACCAGGCCAAGCAACACCACUAGCAAAUAUGUAGGAGACAUCUUUGGGUUUGGGCUCAGAUGGUGCAAAACUAGGAGAAUUGGCUAGCCUUUUAUAGCGGAUCGUACUCAAUAAUGAAAUGACACGUGUCAUUAUGACCCAUGUGUAAUGGGGUCGAUUUGGGUCCUACAGUGUUGAAAACUUCGACAUCCAGUUUUGGCCUUUUGCUUUCUCUACAGCCGCCUUGCUUUUUCCCUCUUUCCUUUUGUUUUCCUCCUGCCCCAUUCUAUCAACUAAACACAAUUAUGUAGUUGUUUAAUUCUUAAAUGAGAUAUUAUCGGUCAAUCGUAUUAUAUUUUAUCAAGAGAGAACGGAGUGCAAUGCAGCUGUAAUUUUAUCGUUUACUUUUAUCUCUUGGACCACUGCAUUUUUGUUAAGAGGUGCAAUAAUACACGUCUUUAUCUGCCAUUCAAUGUUUACAGUAAAGAGAGGGCACAAAACUCUUCACUGCUCUGCAUGUGUCCCAAAAAUGCGAUUGGACAAAUUAUGAUUUGCAUGCUAAAAAGAGGCAAAUGAGGUUAAUUCGCACCAUAAUUAUUUGGUUUUCUGGACACCAUAAAAAGAUGUUAUACAGGCAGGGAAAAACCUUCAGAGUUAGCUACCAAAGAUAAUUAUCAAGCAGAUAUCACCAAGAGAAUUCCAUAGAGUCUGAAUCAAAGACAGAUUGCUCGCUCGUGGGGGUUCUUACUUUCUUUUGGGUAUAACUCACUGAGGUCACUGUCUUUUUUAUUUGCAUUUCACAGUUAGAGUUCUGCUCUGGAAGGUUUGUUCUGGAAACAUAUAAAAGGAGCAUCAUUUUGUUCUUGGGUAACCCAUAGUCGUGAGUGGGUCCAUUUGCAUGCUACUUAGUUGAAAAGUUGGACAAUUUGCUCCGACGCCUACCUCCUGGAUUCCAUGCUCGGUAAAACAAGAAUAAAAAAAAAUAUAUAAUUUACAAAUGGGGGAAAGAAAAAAUGUCGGAAAAAAUAGUAAAAUUCAUGUCACAUGCUAGUGAGAGAAGGGGUUGUUACACUCACUCGAAGUUCUUUUCAAAAUAUCGAAUGGUAUUUUACUUUAUGUGUCAGCGCAGUUGUGAAUGGAACGUGCAAAAGUCCAAAUUGGCGUUUUUAUUUUUCCCAUGUAGGAUGGUGACCUUUAAUAAAUAUUUAAAACAAAAGACGAAAAAAAAAAGGAGGGAAAAGGGAUCACAAAAGAUAAAAUAAUGUUUACAAAAGCUCAAUUAGUUUGCAAAUUACUGUUUGGAUUUUGAUAGUAUUUUAUUUGUCGUUCUAUAUUUGAUGUAAAAGAGAAUUUAAGAUAUUUCCGAAGCAAAAGCAUUAGUUUGCUCUGUGAUGUCCCACAUCGAAUAGGGGAGAAAGUUUCUGGCGCUAUAUAUGUAGAGGCUCCUCUUAACCAAGUAGAUGCGUUUUAAAACCAUGAGGGCCCCCUUAGGUCCAAAGCGGACAAUAUCUACAUGAUUGGGUGUAAGUCAUUACAAAUGGUAUCAGAGCCGAUCCCCGACCCCGGUGUGGGGGUUUGUUUGGCCCUGUAAGGGGUGUUUGUCUGUUUGACCCCACAAUCCCAUGGGACACAACGAGGACGUUGUGUCUGCAUGGGGGGGCGUUUGUGAUGUCCCACAUCGGAUAGGGGAGAAAGUUCCUAGUGCUAUAUAUGUAGAUGUUUCUCUUAACCAAGUAGAUGCAUUUUAAAAUUGUGAGGGCCUCUUUGGGCCCAAAGCGGACAAUAUCUACAUGGUUGAGUGUAAGUCAUUACAUGCUCCAUGUCAAUUUCAGCAUUUCUCAUAUGUUUCACACAUACACAGAAGAGCAUCGUUUUUUAAAGCAUGCAUUUAUGUUGGAUUAAUUUGGAUUUUGUGGGAACUGGGGCAAGGAUCACAUGGAAGAGAGGUUGACUUUUUUCAGUACUUCAAUGGUUGAAAUAUGUGAAGGCUUGAUUGAUACUAAAGCUUGAAAUUGCGACUCUGUCAUUUGUAAAAAAAUAUGACAGCUUCCAUGCUCUCGUUUGGUUGCAUUGUCCGGUCGAGAGGUGCAAAAAGCAUUCUCUCUCUUCUAAUAGUCUUUUCGUUUAAAUCAAGGGAUUUGCCUUCCCGGUCGAGGUCCAAUAGAGGGUAACGGUCACCUACUAAACAUUAAAUGCUCCAACAACUAGUGAACUGAUCGACCCCAGCUCGACUAGUUGAGGUUACUUUUUGGUUUUCUUGUCUCCCGAGGUUAGAAACCUAUAAAUAGAGAGCUUCACUUCAUUUAUGAGUAAGAGAACACCUAAAUUUAUUUGUUUACCUACUUGUUUUUGCCAUAAAAGCUCUCAUUUCUUUUCUUGGUGUAUUAAAUCUCCAUUUGCAUAUCCUUUAGUGCACCUUUGUGAUUCAUUCUAGCCUUGAGUUGUAUUUAAGCCUUUGUUGAGCUAGGUUGAGAGUUUCAUACUUGUUUAUUGAGUGUUAAAGCCUUCAAGUGAGUUAAAACUUGAAGAGAUUGUGUAAGAGCCCAUUGGAGUCGGAAUCCAAGUGUAAAGGUGAUUAAAAGCUUGGUUGAAGCUUCAAGUUAGUGGAACUCUCACUCGGUUAUGAGCUUGAGAAGAGUGGACAUAGACAAGGCAGUGUCGAACCACUAUAAAAUCUGAGUUUGAUUUCUCUAACCUUAUCUCUUUAUAUUUGCUUCUCUUGUGCUUAAAUUUUUUGUGUUUAAAAAGAAUUUUUAAAAACUCAAUUCACCCCCUUCUUGGGAGUUUUUCUCUUUUAAGAUCAGCUUUUAUUUUCUCAAUUGGUAUCAGAACUAUGCCUCUUGUUUAAGACUUAAUCGUCUAAGAGGAAAUGGCUAAUCCAUCAAGUUCAUCUCACAUUGAAAGUUUUGCAACCAAUAGACUUCUUUUUUUUUUUUUGCGGGAACUGAUUAUCCCUAUUGGAAAACUAAAAUGACUUGGUUUUUACAAUCAAUUGAUUUAGAUGUAUGAGAUGCCAUUGAAGAUGACCUAACUUUUCCUUCAAAACUAGUUGAUGGAGUCAUGGUUCCAAAACCUAAGCAAGAAUGGGAUGAGCGUGAUUGAAGAAAUUUUCAAUUAAAUGCUAAAGUCGUUUAUACUUUGCAAUGCUCUAUGGACAGAAAUGAAUAUAAUAGAAUAUGUCAAUGCAAAUCGGUUAAAGAAAUUUGGAGAUUGCUUGAAAUAACUCAUAAAGGAACAAAUCAAGUUAAAGAGUCAAAAAUCAAUUUACUUGUUCAUAGAUAUGAAUUGUUUUUUAUGAAAGAUAAUGAAACUAUUGUUAAGAUGAUCACUAGGUUCACCAACAUUGUUAAUGGUCUUAAAGCCUUGGGAAAGACCUACAAGGAAUCCGAAAACGUGAUGAAGAUCUUGAGGUCACUUCCAUCAAAGUGGCAUACCAAGGUCACCGCAAUUUAAGAAGCAAAAGACUUGAUCAAGCUACCUUUGGAGGAGUUCAUAGGGUCAUUGAUGACAUAUGAAAUCAAUUUGGCAAAGAAGUAACAAAAAGGUGAAGACAAAAAGAAGAAGAACAUAACUCUCAAAGCUACAACUAAGGAAGAAGAAGUUGAAGAAGAAAAACAAAUUGAAGAAGAUGAAGAUUUAGCCCUCAUCACAAGAAAGUUCAACAAAUUCAUGAGGGGUGAAAGGUUUAGAAGAAGAAGGUUCACUUCUAGAAGAGACUUUUCUAAAAAGGAAUCUUCAUCUAAUGGUGACAAAAAGAGAUGGGAAGAGAAAAGAGACUUGGUGUGUUUCAAGUGCAAGAAACCGGGACACAUUAAAUAUGAUUGUCCUCUCUACAAAAGUGAAGUCAAGAGGAAAAAGAAUAAGGCAAUGAUGGCCACUUAGAGUGAAAGUGAAGAUGAAUCAUCCGAAGAAGAAAAUGAGAAAGAAGUGGCAAACAUGUGUUUCAUGGCAAUAGAUGAACUUGAUGAGGUAAAAUCUAACCUUAGUGAUUAAGAUAUACAUGAUGCAUUUGAAGAAUUGUAUGAGGAUUUUUAAAAACUUAGUUUGAAAAAUAUUUCUCUUAAAAAGAAAGUUCAACAACUUGACAAAGAACUUAGAGAAGUAAAAGAAAAAUUUUCAAAUGUUAAAGUUUCUAAAACUCAUCUUGAAAAAGAAAAUGAGAUUCUAAGAAAGAAAAAUGAAUAGUUGAACUCCUCUCUUUCAAUCUUUUCUUCUAGACAAAAAUCUUUUGAAAUGAUUCUAACUAGCUAAAAAUGUGUUUUUGACAAACAAGGGUUAAGAUUUAAAUCUUCAAAAAAUCAAAAGUAUUUUAAAAACUAUUUUGUAAAGGAAUCCACAAGUGCAAGUCCUUCCACUACUUGCAACUUUUGUGGAAGAGAAUGGCACAUUAGUAGUACGCCCUUUAAGAAAUGGUUCUCAAAAGAAUUUAAAUGCAAAAACUAAAAAAGAUUUGGAUUGAGAAAUCCAAGGUCACUAACCCUCAAGGACCCAAAAAGAUAUAGGUACCUAAAUCAACUUGAGUUUUAUGUUGUAAGGUUCAAAGAAUGAUAAGUGGUUCUUAGAUAAUGGUUGCUCAAGACACAUGACCGGAGAUGAAUCCAAGUUUGCUUUUCUUAAAAAGAAAAAUGGAGGAUAUGUUACCUUUGGAGACAAUGCAAAAGAAAGGAUGAUUGGUCAAGGCAACAUUGGUAAUGGCACAUCCUCUCUCAUUGAAAGUGUUUUAUUAGUAGAUGGUUUCAAACAUAACCUUUUAAGCAUUAGUCAAUUUUGCGACAAAGGUUUUUAAGUGAUUUUUUAAGCAUCUCAUUGCAUCAUCAAGGAUAUUCAAAAUGAUAAAACCAUUUUCAUGGGCCAUAGAUGUGAUAAUGUUUAUGCUAUAAAUAUUUCAAAAUAUGAUGGCCAUGAUAGAUGUUUUUCAAGCAUGCAUGAUCAAAGUUGGUUGUGCCAUAGGAGAUUGAGACAUGCUAACAUAGACCUCAUUUCCCAACUCAACAAAGAUGAACUUGUUAGAGGCCUUCCCAAAAUAAUUUUUUAAAAAGAUAAAGUUUGUGAAGCUUGUCAAGUGGGAAAGUAAAUCAAAAACUCUUUUAAAAACAAAAACUUCAUUUCCACAUCUAGGCCACUUGAGUUGUUGCAUAUGGAUUUAUUUGGUCCCUCUAGGACACCAAGUCUUAGAGGAAAUUCUUAUGCAUAUGCUAUUGUGGACGACUUCUCUAGAUACACAUGAGUCUUGUUUUUUAGUCAAAAGAAUAAAGUUUUUUAUGAGUUUUCAAAGUUUUGCAAUAAGAUUCAAAAUGAAAAAGGUUUUUCAAUUACUUAUAUAAGAAGUGAUCAUGGGAGAGAAUUCGAAAAUAUUGAUUUUGAAGAGUAUUGCAAUGAGCAUGGAAUUGACCACAAUUUUUUGGCUCUUAGAACUCCUCAACAAAAUGGGGUAGUUGAAAGGAAAAAUAGAACUCUUCAAAAAAUGACAAGAACCAUACUAAAUGAAAACAACUUACCAAAAUAUUUUUAGGCCAAAACGGUUAACACUUCUUGUUAUGUUUUAAAUAGAGUAUUAUUGAGGCUCAUACUUAAGAAAACUCCCUAUGAGCUUUGGAAAAACAAAAAACCCAACAUUAGUUAUUCCAAAGUCUUUGGAUGCAAUAUUUUAUAAUAAACACCAAAGACAAUCUUGGAAAAUUUGAUGCAAAAUUGGAUGUUGGAAUUUUCCUUGGUUACUCAACUUCAAGUAAAGCUUUUCGAGUUUUAACAAAAGAACCAUGGUUGUAGAGGAGUCCAUCCAUGUUAUUUUUUAUGAAUCUCCAAGAAAGAGAGAGGAUUGAUGAUGAUUUAGGUUUGAAGACCUCUAUAGGAAGAUUGCAAAUCGAAGAUAGAAGACAACAAGAAGAAAAUGGAGAGAAUCCAAAGAAAGAAGGAUCACCAUUGGCACUACCCCCUCAUCAACAAGCGCAAGGUGAAUCAAGUCAAGAGCUUCCUAAAGAAUGGAAGUUUGUCAUCAAUCACCCACAAGAUCAAAUUAUAGGCAAUCCAUCUAGUGGGGUAAGAACUAGAUCCUCUCUUAGAAAUAUUUGCAAUAAUCUAGCUUUUAUCUCUCAAAUUGAGCCUAAAAAUAUAAAUGAUGUUUUAGAUGAUGAAAAUUGGAUAAUUGCAAUGCAAGAAGAGUUAAAUCCAUUUGAAAGAAGUGGAGUAUGGGAAUUAGUACCAAGACCUUCAAAUCAAAGUGUUAUUGGAACUAGAUGGAUCUUUAGAAAUAAAAUGGAUGAAAAUAGCAUAAUUGUUAGAAAUAAAGCAAGAUUGGUAGCCCAAGGUUUUAAUCAAGAAGAAAUGAUAGAUUAUGAAGAAACCUUUGCCCCCGUAGCUAGGUUGGAAGCCAUUAGGAUGCUACUUGCCUUUGCAUGUUUUAAAGACUUUGUUUUAUAUCAAAUGGAUGUGAAAAGUGCUUUUUUAAAUGGUUUUAUAAAUGAAGAAGUAUAUGUUGAACAACCACCCGGUUUUCAAAGUUUCAACUUUCCUAACCAUGUUUUUAAACUUAAAAAGACACUUUAUGGUUUGAAACAAGCACCUAGAUCAUGGUAUGAAAAAUUGAGUAAAUUUCUUUUGAAAAAAAUGUUUUAAAAUGGGAAAAAUUGACACAACUCUUUUUAUAAAAACCAAAGAAAAUGAUAUGCUCUUAGUUCAAAUAUAUAUUGAUGAUAUCAUUUUUGGUGCUACUAAUGUCUCUCUUUAUGAAGAAUUUUCUAAGUGCAUGCAUAGUGAGUUUGAAAUGAGCAUGAUAGGAGAACUCAACUUCUUCCUUGGACUUCAAAUCAAGCAACUAAAGGAAUGAACCUUCAUCAAUCAAGCAAAGUAUAUAAGAGAUCUUCUCAAAAGGUUCAACAUGGAAGAAGCCAAAACAAUGAAGACUCUAAUGAGCUCAUCCAUUAAGCUUGAUAAGGAUGAGAAAGGUAAAUCCAUUGACUCUAUUAUGUAUAGAGGCAUGAUAGGUUCUUUGCUCUAUUUGACCACUAGUAGACCUUACAUUAUGUAUAGUGUGUGUUUGUGUACUAGAUUUCAAUCUUGUCUUAAAAAAUCUCACUUAAGUGUCGUGAAAAGAAUCCUCAAAUAUUUGAAAGGGACAAUGGACAUAGGCUUAUGGUAUCCUAAGAGUGAUAACUUUGAAUUAAUUGGUUUUUUGGAUGCUGAUUUUGUCAGUUGUAGGGUUGAAAAAUAAAACACUAGUGGCACUUUUCAUUUCUUAAGACACUUACUUGUCUCAUGGCAUAAUAAGAAGCAAAAUUUGGUAGCUUUGUCAACAGCAGAAGCUAAAUACAUAGCAACUGGUUUAUGUUGUGCACAAAUCCUUUGGAUGAAAUAAACACUUAGUGAUUUUGAUUUAUCUUUUGAGCAUAUUCCUAUUAAAUGUGAUAAUAGUAGUGCCAUAAGUAUAUCAAAAAAUCUCGUGCAACACUCUAGGACUAAGCAUAUAGAGAUUAGACAUAAUUUUCUUAGAUAUCAUACACAAAAGGAUGAUAUAACACUUGAAUUUGUAAGCAUAAAAGACCAACUUGCCGAUAUCUUUACAAAACCUCUAAGAACAUUUUGUUGAUAUUAGAGGACAAUUAGGAGUGAUUUCUUUAUGAUCUAAUGUGAUGAAUUCUUGAUGAAUAUACUUUUUGAUUGCAUGAAUUUCAUGUCAUAUAUGCAUCAUAUAGAAAUAUACUUAGAUAAUGGUCAAAUUUCGACCAAAAAUCAAAAUUCCCAUGGCAUUAGGCAUAAAAAUUUUGGAAUUUCAACUGAAAAUGGUAGGAGGAGGAUCACAAAAUGAGAAAGUAUGCAAAAAUUGAAAAAUCAAAACGUUGACCAAGCGGUCAAUCGGACUAGACCGAUCGACUAGUUUGUCGAGAUUUAGGAUUUUUAAGAGACUCCAACGCUUCAAUUUUUGCACCGUUCUCCUCUAUUUCUUCACGGUUUCUCUGAUUUUGUCUUUUAGAGACUAAUUUGAGUGCGUUUUGGAUCAAUUGAAGCAUUUUGGAUUGGAUUUUAGGAAGAUUGAAAGUUAAGGUUUCGGAUUUGGGUCGCCUUCUCUUCCUCUCGCGUGUCACAAUCAGCUUUAGCAUUGUUCUCUUUCCAUUUUCACACACCUAGGGUUUCAGUUGUGAGCAUCUCUCUCUCUUUACCAACCACUACUCCCUUGCUUCUUCCAUAUGGCUCCUAGGCGAGAGUCCGCUACUUCUAGGGCACAAGGCAAGCACCCAACUGAGUCGUCUCAGUCAAAGGCACGUCGAAAAGUGAGAUUUGACAUUGCCUUGUUCAGUUCCAUGGAGGACUACCAACUAUACAAGCAACACUUUGCUUAGAGACGAGUAGUUCCCAAGAGAAAUAUUAAUUUUCCUCAACUUCAGCAUUUCGAAUUUAAGGGUCUAUUUACUAGGAUGGUUGGUUGUCUAUUGUCACAAUUUCGGAGCCGGUUUUCCUGACCUUAGUGCGAGUUUUUUACUCGAGGGCGACUUAUGGCAUGGGUGGCAUGAUCAUUUCUACUGUUGGAGGAGUUGAGAUCUGUCUGGACCCAGAGAGCAUCUGCCAUAUUUUCGAUAUUGCUCUGGUUGGACUCAAAGUAUACAAGUCCAAAAUGUGGCCCAUUGUGCCAGGAUUUGAGCUUAGAGAGGUCAUUCAGAGGAUUUGUGAACUUCCAGACGCCCAGGAGAUGGGCAAACCAUUGCCACACAGUUUGACGGUCAUCAACAGGGUGCUACACCAUAUAUUGUGCUCUAUCUUUCUACCACGAAGUGGACAUUGAGAUGAGGUCUCUUAUUAUGAGGCAUUCCUUAUUGACUCCAUUCUAACGGAGAGACGAAUUCAUCUACUAUGUCAUCAUUCACUAAGCCUCCUCACAGUGACAUACCACCUCAUCAGGCACCUCUUGCUCCUGACCAUGCUCCAUUGAUGGAUUUAUUUACUCAUAUUAGCUCUCUAGGCACUCGCAUGAAGGAGUUUGUUGUAGUUAGUGAUACAUGGUUCUACUCCAUAGAGGAUCGCAUGGAUCAGUAUCAGACUGGCUUCACGUCACAGUUUGAGUAUCUCCAAUAGAGGAUUGAGCAUAUUGAGGAUCACUUGAGCAUGAGAAGAUGAUGGCUUUUCUAUGCUCUGUGUUUCCACCUCCACCUCGUCAACCUUGAUUUCUUAGAGACCCAUUGUUUUCAUUUUGUAAUGUUGCCAAAAGGGGGAGAUAUUUAGGAUCUAGGACUCUAUAGGAGACUUACAUGCAUAUCAUUUUCAUAUCAUUGUUUGGAUCGUACAUAUUGGAUAGUGAUACUUUUUACUUAUAUAUGAUAUGCCUAUAUGUUUCAUGUCUUACAUUGUUUCUUAUUGCAAAUUAUCUCUAACAUGUCUUGAUUAUCUUUUUUUUAACUUCAUAAAUUUUGAUUGUUAACCCAUGAUUGGUUUGAGGGGAAGAUUCUUCUUCUCCUAGAUAACCAAGGUUUGUCAUCAUAAAAAAAUUGGAGAUUGUUAGCCCAAGGGUUCUCCUAAUCAUGUUUUGAUGAUAACAAACCAUGCUUAAGUUACUAAUUGGUUUGAAUUAUAAAGAAUUUCAAGUGUUAAUUUGAAAAUUCAUCAAAGAACCUAAUGGAUGCAAGAUCAAGAUUUUUGGAAGACCUUUAAUCAUAAGAAACAUAUGUAAGAUGAAUGCAUGGGUGCACUUAAGAUUUGCAUAUCAUUUCAUGCAUAUUUGGAAAACACGGUUUAUGCUUUAAAGUUACAUUUCCAUCAAAAUUUGAGAUCCAUCAAAUGAACCUUAGGAAAAAUGUUUUAAAAUUGGCAUAUAAUUUUACCUAAAGACCUUGCCUAAGUGUUAGAAGCAAAAGGACAAAAAAAAUAUAGGUUUUCUGGUCAAAAAUGGUGAACCAGUCAAGGCAUUGUCUAAAUCAGCUCAAUCGGCCAAGGUACCGGUCGAUCGGUUUCCCUUUCCCUGUCGAGAUCUAGUCAAGAGGUACAAAAAUCACAAUCUCUGUCUCUUUCUCUCUUUGUCUAUCUUCCAGUAGUCUUUCCUUCCCGGUCGAGGGAUUUGCCUUCCCGAUUGAGGUCCGAUUGAGAGUAAUAGUCACUUGCCAAAUAUUAAAUGCUCCAACAGUUAGUGAACUGGUCGACCCCCACCUUGCCCAGUUGAGGUUACUUUUUGGUUUUCUUGGCUCCCGAUGUUAGAAACCUAUAAAUAGAGAGUUCCACUUCAUUUAUGAGCAAGAGAACACUUGCAUUUAUUUGUUUACCUACUUGUUCUUGCCUUAAAAGCUCUCAUUUCUUUUCUUGGUGCAUUAAAUCUCCAUUUUGAUAUCCUUUAGUGCACCUUUGUGAUUCAUCUUAGCCUUGAGUUGUAUUUGAGCCCUUUUUUUAGCUAGGUUGAGAGUUUCAUACUUGUUAAUUGAGUGUUAAAGCCUUCAAGUGAGUUGAAACUUGUAGAGAUUAUGUGAGAGUCGAUUGGAGCCGAAAUCCAAGUGUAAAGGUGAUUAGAAGCUUGGUUGAAGCUUCAAGUUAGUGGAAUCCUCACUCAAUUAGGAGCUUGAGGAGAGUGGACGUAGCCAAGGAAGUGUCGAACCACUAUAAAAUUUGAGUUUGAUUUCUCUAACAUUGUCUCUUUAUAUUUGUUUAUCUUGUGCUUAAAUUUAUUGUGUUUAAAAAGAAUUUUUAAAUACCCAAUUCACCCCCCUCUUGGGUGUUUUUCUCUUUUAAAAUUAGCCUUUAUUUUCUCACAAACUAUUGUAGUAUAGUGGUUUUUAGGUGUCAUCCAUUAGGAUGAAUUGUUCUCGGUAAUUAAGGCGUGAAUGAGAGGAGAAUUAAUGAUUGUGAUUAAGUAAAAUUGAUUUGAAAAUUCAUGGUGAAAAAUCAAUUUAACAAUGGUUUCUAAUUGAGAAAAACAAUGAAAUGUGAAAUAAAAUAAAAUUAAUAGGAAAUGAAAUUCUCGAAGUUAGAAUUUUCUAAAAAACAAAUUCCAUGGUGAAUGGAUGUUGAGAUCUAAUUUUCAUCAAGUUAGAUUGAAAACCGAAAUUUUCAUAUAAACUGAUUUUUUAUUUAGUUUUAGGUCUAGAUUUAAUUUCCCUUAAAAUUAGGUUAUUUAAUCCAAGAAAUCAAUUCAAAUCAUAUAUUCAAUUCAUCUUAAAUUAUCUUCCAAUUAUUCACACAAUGCAACUAUUCAAUCUCAUCAAAUCUAGCUUUUAAGAAUUUAAUGAAUCUACCUAGUUUGCAUUGUAAUAGUCAUCCAUGACAAUUUGAAGAGAAAAAUAAUUCAAUUAAUCAAUCACUUGGAUCAAAUUACCUUUGCAAUUAAAGUUCAUUUCUCUAAUUCACCACAGAUUUUGUCUCUAGAUCCUCCUUUCUCAAAGAAAAAUGAGAUUUAGCCACACAUGAUUGGAGAUUUGGUCUCAUAAGGCAUGUUUAGCUAGUGAUAAAAUGAGAGAAAAUAAAGAAAAAUAGAGAAUUCGAUUAAGAAAGAAAAUCUAAAAAAUUCUACAAUUAGAAAUGUCCAAAAAGCUUUUUCAUGAGAAAAUCAAGUUUCUAUUUAUAGGCCAAGGUCAAGUGGACACUUGACAUCAUCUAAGAGGUCUUCCGGAAGCUUCUUCAUCAAGAAAUCUGGAGUUUAAUAAUAAAAUGGUCAUUUCACAAGAGCUCAAACAAUUUCGCAUGAUUAUGUGAAAUAAAAAAUGCAACAACAGCAAUUUACAUCUUCUUGGAGCAUUUCGCAUGACUGUGUGAAAUUUUCACAUGAUCAUGUGGAAUCGACUUGACAACUCUCAUUUAGCCUACAACAUAAUUCCACCUUUUGGUCCAUUUUUCAUAGUCAUGCGAAAUGGAAAUAUUUGAUUUUUAAGUUUUCUUUUGUCAUUUCUUUCAUUUCCUUCUCUUGAUUCCACUUCAACUACCUCCGAAUCCUGGUCCAAACCAAUUGCAUUACUUCUUUCAUUAUGCAUUUGGAUCAUCAUCAACAUUAUUUGUUCUCUUCAAUUUGAUUCAUCUCUUUUGUCACCAAUUUAUCAAAAUCAUACCUUGAAAUGACUCCAAAACUUCAUAAAACUUGUUAGUAACUCUUGCAAGGGCAACAACAUAUUAAUUAAGUGUUUUAGGCAUAGUUACUACUCAAAAGAUGCGAAACUCAUGAUAAUUAUUAUAUAAAAUAUGCUCUUUUUGAGUAGUAAUCAACUUUCUUGCAUAAGCAGACCUUUUAGGGUGGAGUACUAAAGACCAAUAUGCUUGUCCUUGUUGUAAUAAAGAAACUUGCUCUUAUUGAUUGCACCAUGGGAGAAAAUUUUGCUACAUGAGUUAUCAUCAAUUUCUUCCCACCAAUCAUAGAUUUAGACGUGACAAGAGGCCUCUUAAUGGCAAGGAGGAACUGACACUCACACUUAUACAAUUAUCGGGCAUUGAUGUGUUGCAACAAUUAGAAUAACUUACACCAAUUAUGUUGGGGAAGUCACAAAAGGCAAACAUGAAAACUAAAAGGAAAAAAGAAAAAUGUUACAUAUCACCACAACUGGAAAGAAAAAAGUAUUUACUUUCAUUUGCCAUAUUGGAAAGCACUUAUUUUACAUCAUAAUAAUUUAGACAUAAUGCAUAUUGAGAAAAAUGUGUGACAAUAUAAUUGAGACAUUGUUCAGUAUUGACGAAGAAACAAGGACAACCUAAAUAGUCAUCUCGAUUUACAAGCUCUAACUAUUAGAAAUGAGAUUCACCCAAUAGAAAGCAGGACCAAAUUUAUUUUGCUUGCAACAUGCUACUCACUCACCCCAAAUGAGAUUAAGGAAUUUUGCAAGUUUUUGAAAUCAAUAAAGGUCCCCAAUGGCUAUUCUUUCAAUAUCUCUCGUUAUGUGCAACUCAAUGAAAGGAAGAUAUAUGAGCUCAAAUUGUAUGAUUGUCAUGUCCUAAUGCAACAACUUCUCUCACUUGUAGUUCGUGGAGUUCUACAUAAGAAUGUUUGUGGAGUUAUCAUAGAAUUGCGUAAUUUUUUCAAGCAAUUGUGCUCAAAGGUGUUAGAAACAAAUCACUUACACCAACUUGAGAACAAUAUUAUUGUCAUACUAUGUAAAAUGGAGCAAAUAUUUCUUCCAUCAUUCUUUGAUAUUAUGGUGCAUUUACUUGUGCAUCUAGUAAGGCAAAGGUUGCAAGACUUGUGCAAUAUUGUUGGAUGUACCUAAUUGAACGAUAUUGUUAUAAUUUCAUAUGAAUCAUUUAAUUUUAUUUUAUAUUAUGUUCAGUUCAUUAACAUGUACAUUGGUCUACAUAUGGAUGAUGAUAGGUACCUAAGCACUUUAAAGUCAUAUGUGCGUAAUAGAACUUUUCUAGAAGGUUCUAUUGUAGAAAGGUACCUUGCAAAAGAAUGUACAACAUUUUAUUCUAGGUACUUGAAUGAUGUGGAAAUAAAGUAUAAUCACAAUGAUAGAAACUUUGUUGGUUUCAACACUAGAGGAGAUGAAAGGGGUUAUCUUUAAACAUAUUGGACAUGCAUUGGGAAAGCCCAUAUUUCAUUAACUUAGUUCAAAAGAGUGGUCACAAGCACAUUUAUAUGUGUUGACAAAUUGCGAAGAUGUCAUACCAUUCAUUGAGUAAAAAAUUUAUUUGAAUUUUAAUUAAAGCUCUAGUUUAUAUCCUUAAUCAAUGUUUUUUAAAUUCACAAGGAGCACAAGCAAACCAUCAAGGCUAGACCACAUAUACGUGUUUGAGACGUAGAUUUAAUUCAUAACAAGGAAUUUAUCAAGUGGUUUGAAAGACAUGUAAGUAUAUUCCUUAUUAUAAGGGAUUUAUUUCACAUUAUGUUUAUAUUGAAUCCAAACCUAUUAUUGAAUUGUAGGUUGAACAAUUACAUAAUGAAGGUCAUAUAUCUGAACACCUUCUCACAUUAUCAUGUGUUCCAAAUUCAUUAGUUACAUGCUUCAAAUGAUAUAUUGUCAAUGGAUUUAGAUCCCACAUUAAAGAACGUGAUAAAAAAGUUUUUAAAAAAAGACUCAGAAUAAUGGAAUUGUUGUAGUUGCAAAAACGUCAAGCUUUACAAGUGCAUGUGAUAUGAGUCCAAUUAUUAGUGAUGCUCUCUACUAUGGUGUUCUAACUAAAGUUGUUGAGUUACAUUAUCUUGGUGAAAAUAAGGUUGUUUUAUUCGAGUUUGAUUGGUGGGAUGUUACAAAUAUUGGAAAAUUGAUAAAAGAUGAUGAGUACAAUUACACAUUUGUUAACUUUGCAUGAAUUCUAACCACGAACGAACGAUUUGUACUUGCAUCUCCAGCAAAGUAAGUGUUCUAUGUGAAGAAUGCGAAUGAAUCAGAUUGGCAUACUAUCAUGGAGAUGCAACCUCAAGACCUCUAUAAGAUGAACGGGAUAGGAUCCAAUGGUGAUUUUGAACCAUUUCAACAAAGUGAACUACAUGAUCACUAAUAUAUCUCAGAUUUAGUUGAUGAAGAUAUAAUCAAGUGGAACAAAAGUGAUGUUUUAGGACUAAUCAUCCUAAAAAAUAUUGUAGUUUCUUAAAAAAAAAAUGAAAAUGAAGAAGAUAAUUGAACCUUUGUCAUACUUUAAAAAGCAACUAUGCAUUGUUCAUUUUGUAUGUUUUGGUUUUCUUCAUUUAAUUUCCUGAUUUUUGUGAUUCAAUGUCAUAUUAUUGAUCUUGAAAUAUUUUUCUAAUUUUUCAUUCUACGAUGGUUUCAACAAGGAUGACAUCAAGUCAAAAAAGGAAAUGUGGUCCCACACACAAUAUUGCAUUACAGGGAUUAAGGUCAGGGAAGAAGGUAAAAGUUGCAUUUAAUGAGUACAAUCAAUUGGUUAAACAGAAAAAUGGAAAACACUUAUCGAGCUACAUAGGGACACUUGUAUCUAACCAACACAAUGUACCUCUCCAAGCUAGUGAUUGGAAAAAUGUUCCAAAUGAUGCAAAAGAGAAAGUAUGGCCUUUGUUUUGGUAUGUUGUAUUUCUCACUAUAUGAUGUCAUUUCACUGUUAUUCUAUUUUGUGACUAACGUUUGAAUCAUAUGUAAGAAAAAUUUGAAGUAGAUAAAGACUGAAAAGAUUACAUGUUGGGUAUAGCCUCAAAUAAAUAUAGAAGCUAUAAAAAUAUGAUGAAUGCAAAAUACUAUGACCCUUGGCAUAAGGAUGCAUGAGGAGAGGUUAAUACAUAAAUCACCAUUUGUCUCUGAUGUUGAUUGGAAGUGGCUUGUCUCUGAUGCAUAAACCAAAUCCCCCACUGAAUGUUUGAUAUUUGAUAGCAGGAAAAACACACCCGCAGCUAUACACCUCCAUCAUUCAGAUAAUUAUAGUGGGGGAGAUGAUUCAUGGUUGCCCUUAUACCCUUUAUUUGCACCAUCUAUUGAGAUUCUUUAUCAUGGCCAGGUUUUACUGCAGCAAUAAGAUAUGGUGGCAACAAUUUUAUCUAUAGGUGCGGUUCCAGACCGCCUCCAUAGGUGCGGUUCCUGACUGCCUCCAUAGGUGCCUCUUCUUGUAAUGUUUGUUCUGGGAAUUACACUUGAAAGCCUUAUCGUGAUAAGGGAUUACAAACACUAGUUCAGAGGACAGCCAUGUUAAACUUCCACUAUGUUUGUGUCACAUUAUCAGCAGCCUAGUGUUUAUUGGUCAUGCUAUCUGCAACUAAUAUAACCCGGUGAACUUCAAUCUAAAUUCUGAAAGUACUCAUGUGACAGAUGGUGCCUUUCAGCAGAUAUCAUCAAUUUAAAAGUAGUGUGUGUGCCUAUAGGUGGGAAGGCCUUGGCAAAUGUUCAGUAUUCCGGUAAUUCAAGAAGGAUAUAUCUAAAAUAGAUUUUCUUCUUGCCCAUUUCAAUAGUUAAAAUUUGAGAAGAUUGUGUCCACAUCACACAAAUAUUAUUGGUCCUUCUGUUGCAAUUUACCUCUGAACAUGUCUUCCAAUUCCCACGGUCCUGUUACUCCAGGAAAACUAUUUCGGUCAUAUUGAAAAAAAAAAUAUUAAAGAAGGUACACAUGCUUUUAAGUGGACUGGGGCAUUCAUAUCAGGUGGUCUGUAUCCACAUAUGCCACUUCGUGAAAGGUGGAACAGCCUAAUCACUAGGCUAUUUAGUGUGGCCCAGCCACGUUAAUCAAGCACAAGUCUUCAUACUUAAAGUCAAAUGGUGUCUUUAGUCUCAUUACACAUCGCUAUUUGAAGAUUAACUCAUCACUAGUGUAAUGCGAUUAAGACAGUCCUAACUCAAUAUUUGUUCUAGUUUUGGAUGCAAAUGCUUGCUGGUUUCAUCAUUGGAUGGGAUAAAGGUGCAAUCAGGACUAUGAAUACGUGCAGUAAUACUUCAUUCUCUUUUUUCUCAAUGAGACUUCUUGGCACAAUUUUGCUGCUCAGCAACCUACCUUUCCAUGGAAAAUCAGUUGUGACUGAUAGUAAUGGAUAUAUUCUAGAAAGCUAAACAUAGAUAGCAUUCAAUAUUAUCGAUAUAACAUUAACAGCGUAUGUCUCAAUGCUCAUCAGCUACAAGCAAUGGACAAACACUUUGAGUAACUCACAGCAGUCAAAAUUCCUAAACAGGACAGACGUGACAGAUCUAUAUAUAGAACACUGCAUAUGAGUCACAGGAAAAGAUAAUACGGGUACAUAGAAGCUCUUAUUUUACAUAUUACUCAUACUGAUCAAAGUCGCUCAGUUGGGAUGGAUGGGAGAAGGAGGUUUGAGGGGUGGCUUGUGCGGGGAAGUUGGCAGCUUCUUUCCGGGAGCUGGUUGCUUCUUUGCUGGAGUUGAAGGAGGCUUAAUCUUCCGAGGUGGCUUGUAUGAGUCUUCAGCAUUCUCAGCAGGAGGGUGACCAGGGUUGUGACCAUAAUGUGGUGGCUUCUCUCCCUUAGGUGGUUUGCCAACUGGGGUUGGUGGCUUGUUUUCUGGGAGUGGCUUCUCUCCCUUGGGUGGUUUGCCAACUGGGGUUGGUGGCUUGUGUUCUGGGAGUGGCUUCUCCCCCUUGGGAGGUUUUUCGAAUGGGGUGGGUUUGUGUCCUGGUGGUGGCUUCUCUCCCUUGGGAGGUUUACCAAUUGGGGUCGGUGGCUUGUGUUCUGGGAGGGGCUUCUCUCCCUGGGGAGGUUUAGUGGGUGGCUUGUGUUCUGGAGGUGGCUUCUCCACCGGAGGCUUAUGCUCUGGUGGUGGCUUCUCGAAGGGGGGAUGCUCAGGGUAAUCACCAAGUGAGGGGGUGGUGAGAACCACCAUGCCAAGCAACAACACUAGCAAGUAUGUAGUAGACAUCUUUGGGUUUGGACUCAGACAGUGCAAAACUACGAGAAAUCGCUAGCCCUUUAUAGCGGCUCGGACCUAAUACUGACAUAAUAUAAAAUAAAUAUUAUAUUUUAUCAAGAGAGAACAGAGUGUAAUUUUAUCAUUAAUACCGAUCGAGGCCAAAGAAAGAAGACCCAUAAUCCAUUUCCCACAAGCAUACACAAUGCAGCUGUAAUUUUAUCAUUUACUUUUAUCCCUUGGACCACUGCAUUUUUGUUGAGAGACACAAUAACACAUUUUUAUCUGUCAUUCAACAUUUACAGUAAAGAGAGGGCACAAAACGCAAUUAGAUAAAUUAUGUUUUGCCUGCUAAAAAGAGGCAAAUAACUUUAUUUGCAACAUAAUUAUUUUGGUUUCUAGUGACCCCGGGGCCUUUCGGUUGGUUUGGGAUCGGAAAAUGAACAUCAUAGGGGGGGUUGUGCCCUUAUGGGCAUAUAUAUCUGAUAGCUUCAACUGGCCUUGUUCCUAGAAAGAAAUUGCCAAAGAUAUAAACUUAUUCCAGGCUGAAAGUAGAUGAGAGUCAUAAUGAACAUCAACCUUUGUUCAGUUUGAUUCAAUGCCCCCAUAGUGUUCAUUUCACAGAUCUGAAUGAUUAUAUCCGUUGAAUACAUAAAUUAAUGAAGACAAAUAUGAAACCCAAGAUACAUCUCUGCAUAACAACCCCAACCCUGGUUGCUAUGUUUCCCUUCUUCUAUUCACAUGAGGAUACUGGUUAUAAUUGUCAAACUUGCAACAAGCCCUUUGACACCUAACGUCAAUGGACGAAUUAAAAGUCUCCUUCAAACGUCUAUUUCACAGCAUGAAGCUUAUAAAGGAUGCUGACAACCUUCAGAGUUAGCGACAAAAGAUAAUUAUCAAGGAGAGAUAGUUCCAUGAGAAUUCCAAGGAGUCUGAAUCAAAGACAAAUUGCUCACUCAAGGGUUCUUAUUUUCUUUUAGGUACAAAUCUCUUGAGUGUUGUUAAAGAAACACGUCACUGUCAUUUUGAUUUGCAUUUAACAUUUCACUUUUGUUCUGGAAGGUUUGUUCCGGAAACAUAUCAAAUGAGCAUCAUUUUCUUCUUCGGUGACACAUGGUCGCGAGUACGUGGGUCCAUUUUCAUGCCACUUAGUUGAAAAGUUGGAAAGAAAAAACAUGCCAACAAGAAGAUAGUGAGAGAAGGGGCACUUCAAGCCUUUAACAUGAACAAACAGUAAAUAAAAGAUGUUUCUCCACUCAUAAAAGUGUGUUAGAUAGCAAUAUAACGAAUCACAUCCAAAAUCUUUACUAGGCUCAAACAUAAAGAAGACUCAUUUUUAAGAAAAGAUAAAAAUGGCAUUGUCUGAUAGUAUCCAAUACACGAGAUGGCACUUAAUUUGUACAAGAUCUGUCAAUGCUGACGCACAUUUUCUGAUUAAAAAAAAACUGAUCAGUCAAAAGCAAUGAAGAGAAGUGAUGACAAUGAAUGAUGCUUCCAAUAUUUUCACCCCUUAUAGUGUUCUUCAUGAUUCAGAUAUAUAAUUGGAAAUAGAACAACCCUAUGCCAUACAUUCGUCUAAGUAUGGUGUCUAAUUUUUUGUGUCAGCGGUUGCGAAUGGAGCGUGCAAAAGUCCAAAUUGGCGUCUCUCCAUUUCCACAUAGGAAGGUGACCUUUAUUGACAAAUACCCAAUAUUUGUAGACAUUCCUUAAAUAUCAUAACUUCUUGUUGAUUUGAAAAUCAUUUUUCAACUACCAUGUUUUAAUAAAUAUUUUUUAAAAUGUAUUUUUAUCAAAGUCCACCAUGAUGGAUAAUAUUCACCAUGCAAUAAUUAAUAAAGUACAAACUAAGCGAAAUGAAAAGCAUUUUCUUUGCUUUGAGUUGAUUUUGGUUGCAUUGAGUUGAUUUUGGUUUCAUGGUUUUUUCAACUCUUAUUUUGAUUGGAAGAUGUCAAGAAAAGAAAACAUAAAGAAAAAUUAAAAGGGAAAAAAGAAGAAAAAUAAAAAAAAAUAGAUUUAAAAGUUAAUAAAUUAUUUUUUAUAUUUAUUUUAAUUCAUUUCACUUAUUUUUCUUUUACUAUAUAAAAUUUAAAUAAUUUAAAUUUUAUAAUUAAUUUAAUUACAUUUCAUUUUCUUCUAUAUUUAAAUAUUGGAAAAAUAUUUUACUUAAUAUUUUUUUCUUUAAUUUCUUUGGCAUUUUGGGAACCAAACUUAGCCUUUAAAAUAAAAAACAAAAAAAAAAUGAAAAUAAGGAGGGAAAAGUGAGAAAAGAUAAAAACAAUAUGUAAAGGAUUUGAAAAGUAUUAGUUUGUAAUUACUAUUUGGAUUUCAAUAGUAUUUUAUUUGUCUUUCUAUAUUUCAUGUAAGAGAGAAUUUAAGAUAUUCCCCAAGGCAAAGCAUUAGUUACCUGCAAUCAGUGGUGAUAAGGCUCCAAGCCAAUUUUGGGCCCCAUAUCUUAAGACAGUACAAUUUCCAUUUCAACAUUUCUGAUUUCUCAGAUGUUUCACAUACCACAGAAGAACAUUGUUUGUGAAAAUAUGCAUUUAUGUUGGAUUUUGUAUGCUGUGGGGACUGGGGCAAGGAUCAUAUGGAAGAGUGGUUGACUUUUUCUGUACUUUAACGGUUGAAAUAGGAUAAGCACGGGCAUUUGUGAGGCUUAAUUGAUUUUGAAGCCUGAAAUUGCGUUUCUGUCAUUUUGUCAAAAAAAUGGCAGAUUCCAUACUCAUAUGUUUGGCCUGUGGCCAUGUACAGAUGCCAUUUAGUGACCAGUUUGUAACUGUCAAUCGUUGCGUUUUGACUCUGCCUCAACAACAUCUGCCAUUGACGGGUUUUCAUACUUGCAAAUCAAAUAGUCUUUCGUCCCAUCAGGAAUUUCGGUUUAAAUAUUAUUAAGCAUACGUUUGGCUGACAAUCAUUAUCCAGUUCAUGAUUUGGUUUCUUACCCUUAAUCAAUGGUUUCUAAGUGAAUAUAUGUAGAAGGAAAUCCGAAGUGUAGACAGUAGUAUCGAUAACUCUCAAUAUUCUCUAUAUAAUAGAAUAAACAGCGUCAUAGUGAUCGUCGCCUACAAGCAAGGUACAAAUACCAAAACGAGUGACUCACAUAGACAUCUCCCAACAAGAUGUAGUAGUGACUGACACAUGGACACAAUUAACUCGUAGAAAAGGAUAAGACCAUUGCACAGCAGCUCUUAUUUUACAUACUACUUAUGCUAACCAAAGUCAAUUAGUUGGGAUGGGUGGGAGAUGGAGGUUUGUGCGGUGGCUUGUGGGGCGGAGUUGAUGGCUUCUUUCCAGGAGCUUCUGGCUUUUUCAUCGGAGCUGAAGGAGGCUCAAUCUUAUGAGGCGGCUUGUAUGAGUCUUCUUUACUCUCGACAGGAGGGUGGCCAGGGUUGUGAUCAUAAUGUGGUGGCUUCUCUCCCUUAGGUGGCUUGCCAACUGGGGUUGGUGGCUUGUGUUCAGGAAGUGGUUUCUCUCCCAUGGGAGGUUUAGCAAUUGGGGUUGGUGGCUUGUGUUCUGGGAGUGGCUUCUCUCCCUUGGGAGGUUUAGUAGGUGACUUGUGUUCUGGAGGUGGCUUCUCCACCGGAGGCUUGUGCUCCGGUGGUGGCUUCUUGGUUGGAGGGGGCUUGGGGUAAUCAGCAAGAGAUGGGGUGGUGAGAACCACCAGUCCAAGGAACAACACUAGCAAGUAUGUGGGAGACAUUUUUGAGUUUGGGCUGAUCAGAUGAUGCAAAACUAAAGCAUUACGUGACCUUUUAUAGCAUGUAGCUCCCAAUACCCACUAAGUAUUGUGGGGUCCAUUUGUGCCCUACGGGGUUGAAAACUUAGACAAUUGGGCAAGGACCCACCUGACUAUGGAGGACUAGUGAGGUGUGAUCAUAGCUUUAGGAUUUUUCUUCCUCUGCAGCCGUCGUGCCGUUGGCAUGAUUUUCUUAAUCUUAAAUAAAGGCAUAGUUAUAGAGUUGUUUAAUCUCUAAAUGGGAUUUUAUAUAUAUCUUCAGAUAGCCAUUAAUAUAUUUGAUGAAGAAAGAAAGACAAGUGCAUACAACAUGUAUACGACUAGCUUUCAUGGAGUUCAUUUAUGAUCAGUUUUCCUGUACAUGUAAACCAGGAUCAUAUAUAUGUUUCUGUUCCACAACUAUUUUGGAAUCUUGUUUAUCAGUUUUUAUCAUUAUAAUGUCACAUAGGCUGCCAACUUGGGCGCUAAAAGAACCAGUUGGGCUAGUUCGUUUCAGAAUUUCAAUGUGGAUUCAGGAAUUGUUUUGUAAGAUAUGCGAAAUAGUAGAGGGAUGAAUAGUGUUUCAUUAAUAAAAGUGUCCUGUAAAUUAGAAGGUGUCAUAGAAACUAUAAUCAAUAAAUAACUUUUUUUCCCCACGGGUGGUGUUUCUUGUGGGGAUCAGUGACUGGUUUAGGUUCACCCAAAAUGAGUUCAGACUAAAAUUGGUUUGAGUCAAUGCCGUGUCUCUUUUUUCCAGAAAUCAACUAUUUUAUGCAUUGAAUAAAUCAUACAAAGAAAAUAUGAACGCCCGCAAAACCUAAACCCUGGUUGCUAACUUUCUAUGUUUCAGUUCUAUUCACGCAAGAAUAUUAGUUUAAGUUUGGGAAAAAUGGCAACUUACCUAGUGAUUACUUGGUUUUGGUUUGCGACUAUUUACGCAACCAACCAUGAGUUUGACUUUAACGUCAUGGGUUGAAGCCUCCUACAGGAAGGGAGAAAGCUCCACAGCUAGCUCCAAAAGAGAAUUAUCACAUUGAUAGCUCCAGAGAUUCCCAAGGGGACUGAAUCAAAGACAAGUUCCUCACUUUUUCUUCUUUUGAGGCCAAAUAUGAACCAAGGAUCACACAACCUCAUUCAACUUCAUAAGUUUGAUUUCAUGCAGUUGAACACUGGGUGAAGGCCAUGACAAGAAUUGAUUCAAAAAUUCUAUCACUCUUUUAAGUAAUGGAAGAUUAUUAUCUCUGAUUGGCAUCACAACAGCACAUGCUCCUAGAUCUUUCUAGACACUCCAUGCAAUGAAAGCACAAUGGAUCUUGUAACGAUAGAAACUAAGCCAUGCUACAGUACUAGAUGAUGAGGUAAAACUAGUAGACACGGGUGGCAGCCUAUAUGGGAGGGACACAAGUCUAAUUGAUUUGCAUUUCAGCAUUAUAGAUAGGUAUGUUUUGGAAGAUUUGUUCUGGAAAUACCGCACCAAGUAGGAUUCUUUUUCUCUUUAGUGGGUCCACUUGCAUGCCAAUUAACGAGUUGAAAAGUAUGAGCACCUACCUCGUGCUCGUGGAACCGAAGGUCAGUGAAGUGGGGCUCCUUUUGGCCUCGUGUAAACUUGAUUCAGAAGUGAAGUUAAUAGUCUUCCAUUCAGAUGGAUACAUGGGAAUUUUUCUCUUUUAUUUAUUUAUUUAUUUUUUUUUUGUGUGUGUAUGUCAAAGGAUAAUGAAUGAAGCGCGUUAGCUUGUUUUCUGACUGGAACCGCAGAUGUCCAAAUUGGAGUUCCUUCAUUUCUUACUUAGGAUUGUUACAUGUAUAAACAAGGUAUAAGAAAUAUGCCAACGUGUCUUGAGGAGUUAUUGAUUAGAAAUAACAAGUCACCCGACUGUAGAGUUCCAAGAUUUGAAUCUUCAGACCCUAUAGCAGCCUCUGGGGUACGUGGCAUCCUAUAGCAUAUUAAUGAAGGCUUUUUCGAUUUAGACUUCACAAUACCAAUUAAUAUGUAUGCACAAAAUGGAGAUGACCCCAAAAAAAACAGAAUCGCCAUAGUUUAUGAGGUUAAGGUGAUUCUCCACUUAAUAUCUACAUUAGCUAAUUAUGUAAAUCAAAUGAACUUCUAUUUUUCCUUUUUUUUUUUGGUUUAUGUCAAAUAGUAGCCCAUAAUUAACCCAACCAUUAGCCUGUUUGAAUUGAUUUCACAUGCACAAUGUUGUAGUAGUUCAUAUUUUGAAUUUUAUUUUUACAAAGGUAGUUAAGGAAAAUGAAGUAUAAUAAUUAUAAAAGCAGACUAUAUACACUACAAUAAUUGUUAGAAUGGUAUCUCAAAUUCUAAUUUAAAAUAUUAUUUUUUGUAAAAGAAAUAUUAUAUAGAAUAUUUCCUAAUUUUAUAAAUGAUUAUAAUUAGAUCUUUAUAAAAUAAGGAAAGUUGGUAAGAAUAUCUUUAUAAAUAUUUUAGGUCAUGAGAGAAAGAAAUGGGAUAAAAAUGUGAUGAAGAGGUGAAAUAAGAGAGUUGAUUAGGAUAUAGAUGUGAAGAAGAAAGGGAUUCAAUAUAUAUAUAUCUUUCAAUUACCACAUUAAAACCCUGUGAACCUUUUAUAUGGUUUACUUUAUUUUUAUAUUCCUCCUUUAAUAUAUUUACAUUAAUGCUUCCAUUGGCACAACAAUAACGAAUUACAAAUACAAGCAACAAGUCCCAUGUUUUAUUACCAAAAGCAGGUAAAAUCCACCUAAUAUAUUACAAUAUAUUCAUCCAAUAUUUUAGACCAAUUCUUCACCAUAAAUAUCAUAAUGUGGCUUUUGUUCUUUCUUAAAUUUAAAUUGAAUUGUCUUAUAUCAAUUUGUUUGUGAUUUUUUCAUUAACUUCACUUUCAUUUGGUUAUCUUUGGUUUUUGAAAAGUAUUAAGGAAUUAAUUAACAAAAUAAUGUUAAGAAAAAUAAUUUUCUCUCUUUUGAUUUUGAUUUUGUAGUAGAAAAAUAUAAUUAAAAUUAUUUAAAAAGUAUGUAAUUUUAAAUUAUUUAAUAUUUAGAUAAAAAAAAUAAGUCUAAUGAGUUUAAAAUAACAUAUAAAAAUAAUUUAUUUAUUUUAAAUUUAUUUUUUAUUUUCCAUUAUGUUCUCUUUCUCUUUUACUUUUUCAUAUUUUUUCUUACGAAGAAUCAAACACAACCUCAUAUUAUAUGUCAAGUGUUUGUCUAUAUUUGAGCAAUGUUAGAUACGGCCAUGGAUUCAUCAAACUAAACUGAUUUUAAUAGAUACUUCACAAAUUGAUUUAUACACUAAAUCAUUGGAUAGCAAUGAUGCAUUGGAAUUAAACGUAGGAUGAAGCUCGAAGAACACUGUUUGUGUAACAACAUAUUUAUGAAAUUAUGCAAAGGAUGAGCUUCGGGGUAGUAGUACAAGGUCAUUAAUGGAGAGCCGUGUUAAACCUUGAUUGUGAUUGGAUUCCGUUAUCAGCAACAGCAACCUUGUUUGUAACCUUGAAAGUCAUUCUGUCCACAUCGAAACUCCAAUUUGACGUUUGUAAUUACCAUUCCUGGAGUGUUCCUUGAUUGAAAUUUAAAUAAUAAUUGCGGCCCACAAGGAAUAUUUUCGAUUCUGUGGGAAUUUGACAAGGUUUGUUAGAGAAGACUGGUGACAUGUUGACUUCAAUGGUUCAAAUAGGAGACGUAUGUGGAUUUGGGGGGUUUAAUUGAAACUGAGUCCCUAUGGCUUUUUAAUAUUUGCAUUGAGCAGUCUCCAUGUGACUUCCUAAUUCCCACCAACCCUCCUGUCCAUGCUGUGAAACUAAAUUGUAAUUUAUCAGCCUUUGUCAAUGGUUUCUAAAUUAAAGAUAUAGACCAUGCAUGUACUUUAAUAAAAGCAAAUCUAAAGUGUAGAUAGCAGCAAUGGUGACACCCAAUAUUCUCCAUAAAAUAGAAUUAGAAUAAGCAGUGUUACAUUGUUCAUGAUCACCUACAAGCAUACAAGAACUUCCAUGAAUAACUCAUAGCAAUUGCCAACAGGGCGUCGUAGAGACUCAUACAUAGAACACUAUCCACCCAGAGGAAAGGACAAGACCAGUGCGCUGCAGCUCUUAUUUUUCACAUGUAUACCACCACUCGUAAUAACCAAAUUCACUCAGUUGGGAUAGGUGGGAGAUGGUGGUUUGUGGGGUGGCUUGUGGGGAGGAGUUGGAGGAGGCUUUAUUUUCUGAGGCGGCUUGUAUGAGUGUGCAGGAGGAUGCCCGGGAGUGUGACCAUAAUGUGGUGGCUUCUCUCCCGUAGGUGGUUUGCCAAAUGGGCUUGGUGGCUUCUCUCCCUUAGGAGGUUUACCAAUUGGGGUUGGUGGCUUGUGUUCUGGGAGUGGUUUCUCUCCCUUGGUAGGUUUGCCAAUUGGGGUUGGCGGCUUAUGUUCUGGGAGUGGCUUCUCUCCCUUGGGAGGUUUGCUAAUUGGGGUUGGCGGCUUAUGUUCUGGGGGCGGCUUCUCUCCCUUGGGAGGUUUGCCAAUUGGAGUUGGCGGCUUAUGUUCUGGGAGUGGCUUUUCUCCCUUGGGAGGCUUGCCAAUUGGGGUUGGCGGCUUAUGUUCUGGGGGUGGCUUCUCUCCUUUAGGAGGUUUGCCAAUUGGAGUCGGCGGCUUAUGUUCUGGAAGUGGCUUUUUUCCCUUGGGAGGUUUGCCAAUUGGGGUUGGCGGCUUAUGUUCUGGGGGUGGCUUCUCUCCCUUGGGAGGUUUGCCAAUUGGAGUCGGCGGCUUAUGUUCUGGGAGUGGCUUCUCUCCCUUGGGAGGUUUUGUUGGUGGCUUGUGUUCUGGAGAUGGCUUCUCCCCUGGAGGCUUGUGCUCCGGAGGUGGCUUCUGAAAUGGCGGGGGCUUGGGGUAAUGAGCAAGAGAUGGAGUACUG